GAAAACAUAAAACGGUUUUGAUAUAGAUGUAUUGUACUCUGACAAAACAAUUUCACUUGUAGCAGUCAUGCCAACAACGCAAAUAUUGUAGUGACACUGCAAGACAAUCGUCUCCGGCAAAGAGUAGACAUGUUUCUGACCAUUUAUGUUUCUCGACAUUCUCUAGAACUCAAACACGCAACUCAACAGAAAAUACACUACCAUGCAUGAUUAUACUCCAAAUUAAUCCCACCUAAUUUACCUUUAUAGUUUAUCAAUUUUGUAUUUGUAUAAAAGAAGUGAUACAUGGUUUGAAAGAUCGUUUAAUCAAUAUAGUUUGGUCAAGUUACAAAGAAGAUACAUGGUUUAAUCAUUAUCUUAGAAAAACUGAAACAAGAAAAAAACUGUAACACUAGCUAGAUUUCGUUGAGAGAAGGCAUGAUUCGGAGUCUAUCCUCGGAGACUCGUUGGCGAUCAGCACCACAGAAUCUCUCUCCAGCGAGCAACGACUGUAAAUCACUUCCGUUGGCUAAGCUAUUGAACUCAACGGAUUUAGAAGGCAUAGCUGGAUAGCGUCGUUGACAAAAAGUCAUCAAUCUUUUAACUGACUGAAGAUACUUGCGAGUGGUUUCGUUGUUCAUGAUGUGAGCAACACUACUGCUGGUAGAAAUCUUCUCUCGGGCAGAACGUUCGUGAAUACCAACCAUAGUCACACCGAUGGGCCAUGGUGCAUUCCCUAUGGCUAGUUUGAUGAAUUGAGCCAUUGCAUCGAGGUAGUCUCGCUUUAUGCAGCAGUUAACCAUCACCAUUAAACCUUGACGAAUGUCAGCUGGUAAACACUGCAAAAAUUUGUAAAUGUAAGCCAUAACAGAAACAUAAAGUAUGGAACCCUAAUAAGACACAAAGAGAGAAAUUUGCUUGCUUUGCACGGAACAUUCCAGCCUAUUUCUCUUCAUCUAUAUGGAACUAAAAGAAAAUUAGAUUUAUUUUGUUUACCUUGUUCCGGCAUAAGUGGAAGAGAGGAGUUAGAUACCUAGCACACUGGUUAAAAAUGGCUAGCAUCUGUUUCCCUAUAGCAGUUCUCCUCUCAGUGUUUUCCAUAGCAUCAAGUUCCUGCUUCCAUUCAAGCAAUAACUUCUUGCAGAACACAAGAAUCUUGUCCUCGUCGCAUAAAUCCUCGAAAUUAGCUUCUUUUAAACGCUUCAAAUUCUCCUUAUCAGCACCACUGAGUUCAUCAUCAUCAUCACUCGUUUCAUCUCUAAUCUUCCUCUUCCUAUCAUUCAUUACACCACUACUCUUCUGCCGCUUCUUGAGCUCAGCGAUGUCACACAAGAAAUCGUUCGUCUCUCCUUGAGUCAUGUCGCUAUCCACCUCCUCGAAUAAUCCUUCCUUCAACACAUACAUGAGUCGAUCGAGCCGCACAUGAUCAUCUUCUCCGAAGAGAGUCACCGGCUGCUUGAGGAAUCUCAAGCGGCGAAUCACUUCCUGCUUCGUGAGAACUAUGAGGUUUUCGAUGAUCUUCUCUUCGGUUAGGGUUUUGGAAUCAGCCAUAGCUGCCGCUUUGGAGACGGAUGAUUUGCAAGAAGCCUUACCUGAUGCGGCCUCGGCUCUGCGCUGGGACUUAACCUCCUUCUCGCGUCGUUCCUCCUCUCGAAGCUUCUGGAUUUUCUUCUGCUCAAUCUCCGAUCGCUUGUAAAACUUCUUCCCACCAGAUGCCUCAGCAAGAAUCUUCCGUUUCUUCAGAAUUUCUUGCCUUACAAGAUCCAUCACGACUAUGGUUUCUUCAAUCGCCGCCGCCCAGGAUUGGAUUCUUACCCAAUGAAAUAGAGAUGAACGGUGAUGACAAAAGCUUGACUUCGGUGAGCAACGAUGGUUAACGAUGGAUGAUGGUUACGAUCUCUUCGAGUUUCCUUCACUCGUGAGUUUCUUCCUCUUCCUACCAACGUCACAACAGAUCCAUCACGACGAUGGUUUCAUCAAUCGCUGCCGUCUAGGAUUGGAUUCUUUCACAAAGUUAAUCGCCACGAUGGAAAUAUACAAGUAUAUCAAUUUCUUCGUAUAUAUAUUCAACGAAAGGUUUUGCCCAAAAAGUAAAAAUAAAUUAAAGAUAUUCAACGAAAAAAAAGGAAAUUUCUGUUGGCCAAAAAAAAAAGAAAAAAAAAAGAAAGGAAGUCUCAAGUUUCUAUUCUAUGGAAAAAAAUCUAUUUAAUAAUAAAAAAAAAUAUUUAUAUAUUCAAAAAUCAAAGUUUGUUAAUUUAUUAAAGUGUAUUAACCUAGUUCUAUUUAAAACUAGCUAAGAACUUGCGUGCUAUGCACGAGUAAAAUCUUAUACUAUUUAAUUUUUUGAUAGAACGAUUUAAAAAAAAAACUCAACUUUUUUAUAUUAAAUCCCGAGAUGUCAAAACUAAAUUUUGUAAAUAUGUUAAAAUAUUUUAAAUUAGACUAAUUGUAUAUAAAUAUCAUGCAAUAACACAACUUUUUAGUCUAUAAAUAAAUUUAUAAAUUAAAUUUUAAAUAAUUUAAUGAUCUUUAUUAAACAAAUAAAAUUAUAUUUAUGUCAUUCAUAAAAUUAGACUUAUAGAUUUGCGGUUUCUAUUUAAAUAUUAUAUAAUAUAUGACAGAAUUUUAUGAUAUUGAAAUGCUUAUAAGUUAUAAUAUAUGUUUAUAUAAAUAAAAAAUAAAUAAAAAGGAAAUAAAAUUAGACUUGAGGUCAAAUUUAGGCAAACAAAACUUACCAAAAAAAAUUUAGGCAAACAAAAAUUAUUGCAUCUGUAUUAAUAUAACAAGUCUGUCCGCUUGAUUACAUUUCGUGCAUGUUUUUGACUAGAGAGAUGGUUGAUGAAUUUUUCAAAGCCUUGGCCAGGAAGAUAUUCGCAUAUGGAGCAAACCCAUGAGGCAGAUUCACCCGUUGCACUACACUUAUCCUCCUCAAGUACCCCUGAAUCCAUUAAAAUAAAACAUAGCUAGUGUAGCAACUUAUUUCAGCAAGACAAUGUGAGAGAGUAGGACAAACACUCACCUUCUAGUUCAGCAAAUGGAAACGGCUCAAUAAUGUUAUAUCCAUCCUCAGAAAAGAAGACAAGAGGAGCAGGAGGAUUUUUGUUAUCGGAUAUGACCAUUAAAUUAGCUGGAGGUGGAUAUCUCUCGGCCCAUUCACAAAUAGCAUUGGCAACGUGUAAGUAAUUUGUUUCACAAACAAUAAAAGACUUGAGAUUCAAGAAAAAUAUCUAUAAAGGCAUAAGUAAGGAUGAGAAGAUAUCAAUUACCCGUGGCGACGUGAUUAAGAACGAUUCCAGUGGAGGAGACCGCUCGCAGGGCGUCAUCAGGGACUUCUGAUAGUAUACCAACGACGGUGAUGGUGAGAGGACCAGAGUAGCCUUUAUUCUUCAACGCCCGUUUAAUACACGACCAACCAGACGAGCAUCACAGCCAGGCAGAGUCGGCUCUAUGUUUUUGAAAGCCACAAGCAAAGAAAAAAAUGGGCUGCUUUUUAAAUUCACAAAAAAAUAAUCAAUUAACAAAAUUGAAAAGAAAAAAAAAAUUAUUACUACUAGGGAGACUCGAUUAACUCACACAAGGAAUGGUCAGUGCCACUAGACUAAAGGAACUUUCAUAAAAAUGGGGCCGAAAUUUAUAUAUAUUAUGUAAGGCCGCAAGCAAAUGCUUCAUGGCCUGACCUUUGGGCCGGCUCUGCAGCCAGGGGAACCGGACACCUCUUAAUGUCCCAAAAGACCGAUGUUACAGCCGCAGCCUCCUCCUUCAUAGGCUUCUCCAUCAUUCAAGAGUUCUUCUUCUUUAGACCCAAACAAAAUCAAAUUCAAUAUACAGACCUAGCUUAUUGUCGAAUCUGAAACGCCGCCAGAGAGGACAAAGGAAAGAAAGAUGGAGCGACGAAGAGUGAGGAACAAGGUUUUGAUAAAUUCUUUUAGGGCAAAUACUUGUAGUGGUUGGUUUAUAUGGGCCGAUACGAGUGGCCCAUUAGUUGUAUUCUUACAUACACAGUCGCUAAUCAAAGUGUUACCUUUCAUCUUUAGCAGAGUUCAAAUUAAAUGUAAAUGCAUGCAACAAGAAACAAAGAAGCAGAGUAGAGAAGAGUAAGUUGUUACAGCAAGUUUUAUUUUUUUAUUUUUUUUUUAUUUUUUAUUUUUUUACAGCAAGUUUUAUUGGUCACCAUUGAUUCUUUCAUAGUUGUAUGGGAUCUCUCUCACUUAAGUAAGAGUCUAUGAAUCUGCAUUCUCUCAAGAUAAUGCAUUUACGUUUUCUGUUUGCUCUGUUUUCUAUUUGUUUCAUUUAUCUUUAGGUCUCAAUUUGCUUCUUCUUCUUUGUUCAGGAGAUGUCAUACAACAAUUACGAAGAUGCAGAUGUCAUUAAUUUGCUGGUGAUCUGAAUUUAAAAUCCCAACUUGUGUAGUAGUUAAACACACAAAAACUACAAAGGUUUUAAAAGAACCCUAAACAUUAGUUAUCAUUACGAUAAAAAAUAUGAGUUUUAACGAAAAAACAGUUGACGUGGGAUCUAACUAUAGUUUUGCUUUCACGUAUCCUGCAACACAAUUAGGGGUCCAAAAUGAUAGAACCCACAACUAGACAUGUAGAUGAAAAAUCACUCACAGCCAAAAUAUCUAAUACUCUAUGUAUAAACUAUAGAACAAAAUACAACUGACUUGAGAGGGAGCAAGGGAAGCAAUCAGGUUUUGUCACCUGAAAGUUCAUCAUCAUCUAAAAGACACAGCGCAUUAAAGGUACCAGUACUAUCUUAUUGCGGGUGAGCAACGGUCCUCCCUUGAUGAUCUUUUCUGGAUGAUGUUGAUGUGCUCAUGGGUUUACGUACGCUUCUGUUCUGGUGUCUUCACAAUAUUAAACUGAAGAUCCUCUACAUGGUCUACAAAGGCGCAAACUGUAUGAAAGUUGAACCAUUUGUGGUCUUCUCCAACACCUUGGAUUUCAACACUCAGAAGAGUGUUACUUUCCGGCUUAAAGUAGAACACAUAAAACGGUUUGCAUGCAUUCUUAUUCACCAAAACAAUUUCACCUGUAGCAGUCACCCCAACAACGGAAACAUAGUGUUUCUCCUUAACGACUAUAUUCUCAGCCAUCAAAGUGUAGACAUAUGUUGACCAUUCCUGUUUCUCGAAAUCCUCUAGAACCGUCAUACUUAACUGAAGGGGAAAUAUAACAUCAUUGGCAUGCCUCAAAUUAAUCACACCUAAUUUACCCUUAUAGUUUAUCAAUGUAGAAGACCAUCCAUAUGAGCAGUUCAGAUUUAGAGACUUGAAUGUCUCGGUUCGAACAUCAAAGCAACCUAUAACAUAUAUCCAAUCAUCACUUUCGUAAGCUAGGUAAUACAAAACCCCACUAAUGCAUAUCCCUGCACCCUGAAGAUCAUGGUUGAAGGGACGUUGGAUCUCUCUCCAUCUCCAUCUCACUUUUUCAGUUCCUAAUGUCAGAAUAUAAUGAGCCUUUUCAUAAUCUUUAGCUAAAUUGUUCAUGGACAAUACCUUCCAUUCAUUACCAAUCGGAUCAAACCCUAACAACUCAUCAUAGCUUCUGUGCGUUAAUCGUCUCGGUUUAGGUAAGAUCUCAAACUUUCUCGUGAUAGGGUUACAUAUCACACGCUUUCCAUCCUUAUCCUCACUUGAGAAAUGCAUACUCAUGAAAUAGAGUAGACCAGAGGCAUAUCUACAACCUUCGUAGCUUGAGUCUCUACCGAACUUCAUAUGAAAAUCGGCCGCUACAACAAUAGAAGAGUUAUCAUAUGGGUUCUGAGGCUGAGGACACGAGAAAAAAAAACUGGUCACCGUCUUGGUAGAUCCUGAUUAAGAGACGUGGACGAGCCGAGGACCUGGUCAAGAACAAUUUGGUGAAAUAUGGACGGCAAAGCAUGGACCCCCAUAGCUUCGACACACAGCGAAACCUCCCCGUUGACUUUGCAGGCAAUCUGGAGAGUAUCUCAAGAAUGAGAUCAUUAGGGAUGGAAUCUGAGUAUCCUCCUCUGUUCAUUGUAGUUGUAUUUGCUUAUCCGACGGAGAGAAAUCACAAAUGGCAGAGACUCUUGAAUUUAUAUGUGGAAGAAUCUUGUGAAGUUCAUGGUUGGCGCUAACCUAAAGCCCAAGAAACAUGGGCUUUAACCAUCUAAAGAUAUAAGAAUUUAAUUUUUUUUAGUAGUGAUCGAAAAAUAUUCGACUUUGAUUGAUCAUAUCUCUAUUUGUCACGGGAAAAAGAUAUAAGUGCACGUCUCAUAGAGAAUUCUAUGAACACAACUUCAGCCGUGGCAUUGAAUUAAAUAAAAAAAAUUAUUAAGAACUUAUUAGAUAAUUAGUUGAUGUUUACAAAGAGAGAAUACAACUUGUAUCAAGUAAAGAGCUUGUAGCUCAUUUGGGAAGCAAUCAGGUUUUGAAACCAGUAAAUUAAUCAUCAUCUGAAAGACACAGAGCAUCAAAUUUGUUACUGCUCUCAAACAUACCACGAUCUUGUUGCAGGUGGGCAUAGAUGCUUGAAUUGAGUUGCUUUGUAUCGUAAACAUUAAGAUCCUCUACAUGGUCUACAAAGACGGAAACUCUACCAAGAUAAUCAAGACCUUUGAUUUCAACACUUAGGAGAGUGUUCCUUUCGGGAUUGAAGUAAAAAACAUAAAAUGGAUUAGAUAUAAACUUCCCCGACAAAACUAUAUCACCUGUAGCAGUCAUCCCAACAACAGAAAGCUUGGGGUUAACCUUAACGACUUUACUCUCAGCACACAAAGAGUAUACAUAUUUCGACCAUUCUUGUUUCUCGACAUCUUCUAGAACCCACAUAUUAAGGGGAAAUCCAUUAUUGUAGUUCAAAUUAAUCCCACCUAAUUUCCCCUUAUAGUUUAUCAAUUGAUGAAACAAGCAGAUUGCGUCUACGAACUUGAAUUUCUCGGACCUAACAUCAAGGCAAACUAUCAUAUAACAUAUAUGAUUUCGUUCAUCGAUAUAUUGAGCUAAGUAAUACAAAACCCCAUUGAUGCAUAUCCCUUUAAGCAAAGGAUACUCAGUAAAAGGGCAUUGGAUAUUCCUCCACGUCAUUUUUCCAGUUCCUAAUGUCAGAAUACGAUGGACCCUUUCACUAUUAAAUAUACCCAUCAUGAUCAACACCUUGAAUUGCUUGUCAAUCGGAUCAAACCCUAAAUAGCUUCUUGUCUGCAUAUCCGUUUUCAGUUUAGGUAAGAUCGCACAGUGUCCGGUGCUAGGGUUACAUAUCACAGGUGACGCAUCCUCACCCUUGUCUUUUGAGAUCCACACAGCAGGAAAACAGAACAAACCAGAGGCAUAUAUAUAUAUAUAUACAAUUACUUUGGCUUCUAGGGAACUUGGUAUGAAAAUCGGCGGCUACUACAAUUGACUUCUCAUAUGGAUUCUGAGUCUGAGGCGACGAGUAGAGGAACCACUCACCACCGCCUCCGCUUGGUUUGAGGGCGAAUAAGAGACGUGGACGAGUCGAGGACCUGGUCAGGAACAACUCGAUGAAAUCUUGACGGCCAAGGAAUGACACCCAUUGCUUCGAAACGCAACGACAUCUCCCGACUGACUUUGUAGGCAAUCUUGAGAAGAUCUCCAGAAAGAGAUCAAUUGGAAUGGAAUCUAAAGUGUUUUCUCUAUUCAUGAUCGUUGUAUUUGUCAAUCGAACGGAGAGGCUCCAUAUAAAGUUCGAAACUUAGGGCAUUUUAUUGGUUUGGUUUGGUUUGGUUUAAAGGCAUAAAACCGAUCAGCAUCCCUUGUCAUAUUGCGGGUCGUAUACAAACAACAAAUUGACAGUCUUCUCAUGGAUUUUUAGUAACUACUUCUCAAAAAGGCCAUUGUUAUAGCUAAGGUUUGGCCUAUCUUGCUAUUUUUCUUUAUUUUGGUGUAGUAAAAAAAAAAUACGGGUUUCUGGAUUCUUUGUGGCACAACUAAAUAGCAUUCCUAAUUCAACUUUUAAUUUUCUAUUUUGCUUAUUCUUUCUUGGCGCAUUAGCAACCUACCAGAGAUCUUUGUGUCAAAACAUUAUCUUUGUGACAAACUGAUAUCUUCAUAAUUCAUAUUCAUGUACUCAUAUGACUUUAUUGUUUAAACAUCAAUAAUACCAAUUCAUCUAUUCAGUCAUUGACUCAAUUGAGGCAAUGGUUUCUUAACGAACAAGUUAUUAGAUACACAAAGACUCGCCAAUAAUAUAACAUUUGUCACUAUAUAUCAAAGCAAGUCCCUUUCCUAUUGUAUAUAAAAUCUCACUCUAUUGUCGUUACAUUUAAAGUAAAACAAGAAAAAGAAGGUUUUACUUAGUUCAGUUUUUCAGGGAAGGGCACACGACAUAAUAUAAAACGGAGGAAAGGUUCAUGUUGUUUCAAAGAUGGAUACGUGGUCGAUCUCUUUCACAUAACAACAUUGAUUAAUUCAAUUUCCGAUGAUUCAUUUCUUUCUUUUUUUUUACAGUUUUUUUCAUUAUAUUCUACUCCUAUAUUUGACUUUUUUCUCUUAAAUUUGAGCAAAUGACAGCUUUUGUAGCUUCUGCUUUCAUUCAAUCUGAUGCCCUCGACCCUCUCUGUGUGCUCUACUUGUGUCUAUCUAUGAUUGUUUCUCAUUUUCAAACUGAUAUUUAACCAGAAAAAAUAUAUUUCAACAUCGUAUCCGUGCGAGAUGUUUUAAAUAAUAACAAAAAUUUCUCACUCGCCUUUAACAUAUCAUAUGGAACCUCGGUUUAUUUGAUUGAACAUUGUAUGUGUUAAAUAAAAUGAAAAGUAAUUUAAUUCCACACGUCUUAAAUUUAUAGUUACACACAUUUCUUUAAUUGAAGCCUAUAGUUUUGACAAAAUAAAUAAUUCAUUUUUCACUCUUUUCAUUUGUGCUAUCAUUAUACAGAUAAUGUAUGGGACCAAAUUUUGGAUCUUAAAGUUAUUCGGAAUGGGGUUCUAUUUCGAAAAACUUUGUAUUGUUGGUUUGUAGAGCGUAGAGGAACAACAUAUUCUAUUGGGGAGCAAAAAUGACAAAUAAAUUGGAGGAUGUUAGAUUCAUCAUUUUAUUUAUAAUUAAAAAAAAAAACAUUUUCAUUUAUAAGGUAACUCCCAAUUUAGAAAAAAAAAAAAAAAAAAAUAGUGUAUACCAUUAUUAUAUUUUAUACAUUGUUAGAUUUCAUCCACUAAAGUAAAAGUAAAGGCCAGUUGAGUGACUACUGAUCUAGGUGAAAAGUUAAAAUAGGUGUCAAAAGGUGAAAAACAAAAUAAGGUUUGCUUGAAGAGUGAAGACAACCCACAACUACCAAGUUCGAAAAAGUUUUUAACUUUUUUCCAUAAGUGGCGGUUUCUUGAAGGUUAAUAUUUACUUUGAAUUCUAGAAUUUGAUAGCUACAAUUUAUUUUACCCCCUCAUUUCCAUAGAUUUUAGAGCUAGAUAGAAUUUGAUGAACAGACAAUACAUUAACAUACACGUACGUACAUAUAAACGUAUGCAUGCAUAUAUGACUAUAUAUAUAUAUAUGUAUGAGAAGGAAAAUGUGUAAAGUAAUGUAAAAUCACAUUGACUGACCAUAGUAUUUAGUUUCUAGUUAUAAAAUCAUUUAUAUGUAAAUAAAACUACACAAUGGCAGGAUUGCAGUUUCGAAUCAGUUAAUGUGGGCGACAAAAAGAAAUUAGAUUAUAUUUAAUUGUUAAUUUUAAAAAGAGAUGGAUACUUCCUUCAUUAAUAAAAGUUUUAUGUUUUAUUAUUAAAUCAGACUAUUUAUUAUGGGUACGACUUGUAAGCGUAAUUAAAAGUUAAAUAAAACCUAGCUAGUUGGGAAAUGGGAAGAUAGAUGAUUUGAUAAAAACAAGACACUGUUUGGUUUCAGAGACUUCCUUUAGCAUCAAAACACAAACAAAAGCGAAGCCUCUUGAGUUACUGCAAAUAGAGAAUAUUACUACCCUUUUGCGACUUGUCAGCUUCAGAUAUUCUCACUUGUAUAUAUUAUUUUCACGGUAAACAAUGCCUUAAAUAAGAAACCCUGAUUGGACUUUUGAUCUGACUCUACUCUUCACUCUUUCUUCUUCUUUAUUUUCAGUCAUGAUGUCUCUCUAACCCUAAUCUCAAUAACUCCAAACUCCUUUUUAUUUCUUUCUAAACCUUGAUUAUAGCUAGCAAUGAUUUAUAAAAACUUUUUUUUGUUGGAUAAAGAAUUAAUAAGAAAUUGAGUUGUAAAUGUUUUGCGAUGUCUAAAAAUAUGAUGUUUGCAAAUUAGAUGUGAAUUGAUUUAAGAUUUGUAUGAAAGCUAGUUUUAUCGAAUAUUGGAUACGUUUCUUUUUUUUUCCUAAACAAGAAGUUCAUGAUCUUGGGCUUAGUGGUUUUAGAGUCUGAAAGAGUUUACAAUUUGUAAAAAAAUAUUAAUCACUAUAUAUAAUGAUGGUUUCAUCUAAAAUUGAAACAACAUCAAAUAAGGGUAUAAACAUAAUUUAUUUUUUAUUCUUAACAAAAAAAGGGGAUAAAACUAUAUAAGAGCUAUUUCUGCUAUAAAUUUAGGAGAAAACUGCAUCUCAUUACAAAUAUGCAUCUCAAUUCUUAGAAAGUUAUUGUCUAUAUCUAUUUCUCAUGUUUAGAAAUAACAUUCUUGUAUGUUACAUAUGAUUCUAUUUUUUCUUCCACGGUGGAAGUUUUAUUUUUGGACUCUAUUAAACCUUAUAUACUGUCAAAUUUUGUGUUGGGUCCGAAUAAGGUAAUGUGAUCUCCUCCAACAAAAUUAUUUAGAAUAAAUGACUUGUUUCCACUUCUAUGAGAUUAGAGAACAAAUUAAGUAAUUUUAAAUGGUUUGCUUUAAUAUAAUAUACAAAAAAAAAUUUUAAAAAAAAUUGAUCUUAAUCUCUAGAUUUCUUGGGUUGAUCUCCACGAGUACAAUUUGUCUGACCAUUAUCAAAAAAUGAGAAGCGUGCAUGUAGUUUAAGAUAAAAGUUUGUAUAUUACAAAUUAGAGAGGAAAACGAAAAAGAAGAUGAAGAUGUGAUCAAGUGUGAAAAGUAUUGGAGUAGUCUCCAAAAUAAUAAUUUCGAUGCUGGGCAUUGACAAGAUAACUCUGAAGCUCUCAACUUUAAGAUCCAUCACUUCCUCUGCCACCAUUUUCACAUUUACCCACACACAUAUACAAACAAAAAUUUGUUAGUCAAUAAUUAUCACCAAACUGUGGUUAUAACAAGGCUUUUGGAUAGUUGUGCUUGUUGAUGUUCUAGGUUCGAAUGAUAACAAAGUACAUCCGUUAUCUAUAUUUGAAUUACACUUAAAUUCAAAAUAAUAUAUCCAAAUUUCUAUUUUUCUUGUCUUGGCCACUUGACCAGUGUAGUUUUUGUAGACGUUUUUUUUCACUUUAAAAUAUAACUACAUAUAUCAACUGAUUUAACUUUUAAAUUUUUUGUUCACACUCAAAUAGAAAAACGUAAGUAAGCUAAGCUAUCAACCAAAAAAAAAUACUAAUUAAGAUUAAAUAUUUUUGCGUUUAUAUGAAAUAAAAAUUAAUUUCUGAUACAAAAGAAUUAAUAUUUUUGUAUUUGUUGGUGUUUCACACUACUAUACCUUUUUAAUAAUAAAGAAACACUAUUUCUUUUUCUAUUCAAUAAAUAUAUGUUUUUUAUUUGUGUAAAUUCAUUACCUUUGUUUGUUUUUAUACCAAAUGUUCUUUAUAUAUAAUGCCACUUUACUCGAUUGAAGCCAAGAACAUAUCAAAAACCCAUGCAAUAAGCACAGAGAAAGACCAAACACUUUUGUCUCCUCUUUCUUCAAAACCUUUACAUAUGAUCUUUGCCUCUUUUCUUACAAUGGGUUUUGCAUAACUUGCACCAAAAACCUUCCUCAAAAACCCUACACAUUAAAUCUCCCUUCACAUAUUCCCAACACAAGAACGAAACUCUAAAUCCAUUUUCACCAAAUAUUUUCCUUUUUCAAAUCCUAAACACUAAAAUGGAUUCAAAUGUGUUCAUCAAUAACCCAUCUUUAACCUUACCUUUCUCUUACACCUUUACCAGUAGCAGCAACAGUAGCACAACCACAAGCACCACCACAGACUCAAGCUCCGGUCAAUGGAUGGACGGUCGGAUUUGGAGCAAGCUACCACCUCCACUUCUUGACCGCAUCAUCGCUUUUCUUCCACCUCCCGCGUUUUUCCGGACACGUUGCGUCUGCAAGAGAUUCUACAGUCUACUCUUCUCCAACGCUUUCCUCGAGACAUAUCUACAACUACUUCCUCUUGGACACAACUGUUUCCUCUUCUUCAAACACAAAACCCUAAAGAGCUACAUUUACAAGAGAGGAGGAGGAACAAACGAUGAUGAUUCCAGUAAAGCUGAAGGCUUUUUGUUUGAUCCUAAUGAGAUCCGAUGGUACCGUCUCUCUUUUGCUUAUAUCCCUUCAGGGUAUUAUCCUUCUGGAUCAUCAGGAGGGUUAGUGAGUUGGGUCUCCGAAGAAGCUGGUCUUAAAACCAUUCUCUUAUGUAACCCUCUUCUUGGAUCCGUGAGUCAGUUGCCACCAAUUUCAAGACCAAGGCUUUUCCCUUCGAUAGGUCUCUCAGUAACACCAACCUCUAUUGAUGUUACUGUCGCUGGAGACGAUCUCAUAUCUCCUUACGCCGUGAAAAACCUCUCCUCGGAAAGUUUCCAUGUUGACGCAGGCGGAUUCUUCUCCCUCUGGGCGAUGACUUCUUCUUUGCCACGGCUUUGUAGCUUGGAAUCUGGUAAGAUGGUUUACGUGCAAGGCAAGUUUUACUGUAUGAACUAUAGUCCUUUUAGCGUUUUGUCCUAUGAGGUUACUGGAAACCGGUGGAUCAAGAUUCAAGCUCCCAUGAGGAGGUUUCUCCGAUCUCCAAGCUUGUUAGAGAGCAAAGGGAGGCUUAUUCUUGUAGCAGCCGUUGAGAAAAGCAAGCUUAACGUUCCCAAAAGCCUUAGGCUUUGGAGUUUGCAACAAGAUAACGCCACGUGGGUCGAGAUUGAACGGAUGCCUCAGCCGCUCUACACACAGUUUGCAGCUGAAGAAGGCGGAAAAGGAUUCGAGUGUGUCGGAAAUCAAGAGUUUGUAAUGAUUGUGUUAAGAGGAACCUCGUUGCAGUUGCUGUUUGAUAUGGUAAGAAAAAGCUGGCUGUGGGUCCCACCGUGUCCUUACUCCGGCUGUGGUGGCAGUGGCUCAGGCGGUUCAGACGGUGAGGUGUUGCAGGGUUUUGCUUAUGACCCGGUACUUACUACACCGGUGGUUAGUCUUCUUGAUCAGUUAACACUUCCAUUUCCUGGAGUUAGUUUUUAAGACUUUUGGUUAAGAGACUACUUGUUGUUUCCACUUCUGGCUUUAAGACUGCUUGUUGUUUUUCUCCAAAAUUCUGUUGCUUUAUCUUAUUCCUGUCUGUUUGUAGUAAGUUUAUAUUUCUAAUGUCAAAUGUCUAAUCUUUGACAACAACAUAUACAGACAGAUAUCUUUUUGCGUACAAACCAAUCCUAAAUCCAUCAAACUCAAAAACAUAAGUCUUCGGAGAAUGGUUUCACUUGAGCUUAACCUGGAGAAUGAGAUGAACUUUGCGGUUCAUUAUUCUCCUGAGUUCUUCAUUGGCCUCAAUUCCUAUCCUCCUGCAAGAUUAGCAGAUCCUUGAGUCAUCGAUUAGUCAAAAGAGUGAAUUUUGAAACGGCGUGUGAUCUUGUAUGCUCUUACCCGAUUUUGGAACCGCCCUUGCCUACAAGAAUUUUGCGUUGGCUAGGUUUAGGAGUGAUGAGAUGCUGUUCAAUUCUAAGAGACCCGUCACGCAGCUCUUUCCAGUCCACUAGACGGUGCUCGACGCCAUAUGGGAUUUCCUACAAUUUGUUUCAAUCAAUCCUGUAAAUUGUCAUCUUUGGGAUAGACGGAAACCGAUACAGAAGAUUAUCUAGUAGAGGUUGUAGUAUUACCUGAUGAACAUGGUCUAGUAAUCUCUCCCUAACAACUUCAAGAGAAAUGUUCUUCAAGACUUCUUCACUCAUCGUGAAUGCAUCUUCUUCCCAUGGUUUUUUUACUGCCUGAUCCAUUAAAUAUUGGCUAAGAUCUUUAACUCCUGAUCCCUUAAGUCCAGAUAUCAUGAAGUACCUAGAACAACAACCAGGGAAAAAAAACAAAUUUUUUCAAUCAAUUCGAGAUACUUCCUCGGUCAUUGUUUUUAAACUGAGUCAGGUAUAGAUAUCUACCUUUCAUAUGCCGGAAGAUCUUGGAACUCCUCAGCAACCUUUAACAGAUCUUUUUUCUUCUCAACCAGAUCAACUUUGUUCAUACAUAAAAUGCGCUUUUGUUUCGGAUUUUCUUCUUCGCCCAUGUAUUUGAUCAAGCGUACCACUCUUGAAUCGGGACUAUAUAUAUCAAACAGAAAACAUAAUUCACAAACUACAAAAUAAGUCUGAGAACUCUAUUUCUACUUGUCAGUAAUGCAAGACCACAGCCAUGAGUCCUUUUUCAAAAGAAAGAAAUAGAUGCAUGUUUCCAUGGAUAAGCUCGGGGAGAUGAACAAGAUAUCGAAACAGAGAAGCUAGUAAUAAUAAGCCCACCAUACGAUACCCCACUUAAUAAUGCUCCUAACCAUACUACUCUCAGUUACGAGAUAACUUAUGUGAAGCUAAUAUAAAGUACAGAAACGAGUAAAUGACUAACCUCAUGAGAUGCCUAUGGACAUCAAACAUAACAAUGAGGACAUCAAACAGGUCAACAGAAGUCCAAGCAUUUUGCACACGAGAUUUAAUAUCUUUGUAACCAUAUCCGCUUUUCUUCAGCAUCAGACCCGGAGUAUCGAAGAAACACUGCAUGGUUCACAAAUAUUAAAUAUUUCAAUCUACAAAUGAUUGCAACCAUAAAAAUCUUGACCUCAGAACUUAACCAUACCAAGUAGUUUCCAUAGGCAACAGAUACAGAGAAAACUUACGACUUGUGUAUCUCCUUUUGUCAAUACUCCUAACACUUCAUGAGUCGUCGUGUUAGUCUUCCGUGAAGCAGCAGCAACCUUUGUUCCAACCUAAACUUAGACAUAACGAAACACUAAGCAUAAUUAUCAACAAGAGGCAAUAUAAAGAUAAACAAUCACUUUAAAAAUCGCAACUUUAGGAUUAAACAAAAGUCAUAUCAGCUCCAAAUUCAACCAAAUAAGCAACGAAUUCAUACAUAAACAUAUACACAAAGUCUCAUUCGAUUCUCAAAGACCAAUCACAGAAAUGUAAAAAUUGAGGAAAUGAGCCAACCAUGAAAUUAGUCAGCGACGAUUUCCCAGCGUUCGGUGGACCAAUGAUACCGACAUUAAGAGACUUCUGAUCUUCUUCUCUAACUUCACCUUCACCAAGUUCUUCAUCAGGUGACUCUAAAGCCGCCUCUAACAGAGCCUUAGCGAGAAUCCUAGACCUAUCAAUAUUAUCCUCAUCAUCAUCCUCAGAGCUCACUUCUUCUGCAACUUUCAAUUUACCUUUCUCAGUCAAGUUUCCAAAGAAGGCUUUGUUCACUCUUUCUCUGUACCCUUUAUCCCAAGUUGCUUCCUUGGGCUUCUUCACAGAAUCUCCAUGGGAAUCUUCGAUUGGGUAUUGACUACUAUCGAAAACAGAGUCGCUGCUUGUUCCGUCUUCGUUGACGGAAGUGGGUUCGUCUAGAUUCGGCUGCGCUGAGUAAAAUCGGCGGAGAAAGUUUUGAGCUUGAUGGGAUUUGUGAGGUGUUGUUGUUCGUGAGAUGGAAAUUAGUAUACGUAGAGAUCUAAAAGCUUUCAUUUUUGCAACAAUGGUAAAGUAGCGAUCUCGGAACAAAGAGGCUUCGAGGGUUUUAGAGGUUUUGAUGUUUUGGGGAAAGUGGUGACAAAGUAACUCAAUAUUACAGAUAGGCCCCUCAUUUUUUUUGCUAAUCCACUUUUAAUCCCUAACUUUGUAUUUGAUACAAUAAGAUUAAGAGCAAUCCCAAUUUGGAGGUAUCAAAUGACUGAAGUACAAGGCUACUAAGUUAUUAGUCUAUUUUAUUUUGGGCAAAAUAUUAAACAUAAUGCAAAUAUUUUGGGUGAAUCUGUAUAAUAUAAUACUUUGAUCAAUUCAGAAGAAAAGGAGACAAAGUUCUUCCUCCAAGUCUCCAACGACAAAAAAAAAGGACUAAACUUCUGAGAAAAAACAUCUCUGACAUCCCUAAAACAAUGCAAAGGUAAAACUAACUCACCUGGCUAAAGAAUACAACAGAUGGAAAGUAAUAACUUAAAAUCAGAUCAUAAAUUCAGUAUCUGAAAAUCUGAACAAAAGUGAGUGAAGACUUGUUGUAACAAAGCCCCCCAUCAUAUCGCCUUUUCUUUAACGCGGGUUUGGUUUGGUGCCAAAUUCUAAAACGCCAUUCGCCCAGCAAGCCUACUUUCUGAGAUUCGUCUGUCUAUGGCUGCAUUUAUUGAGUUCAUCUGCAACAAGUACCAAAAGAAACAAACUUGGUUCUGAGUUUAAAAGUUGGAUGCUUUAUUUUGAAAGAGUUAAGCGAGUUUUCGUUUUGGUUCCCCAAGGCCUUGUGAUUGUGCAAAGGCGCCAAACUUUGCAAAGUUAAGAAUAUAAAAAGAGCUGACCUGGGUUUGAAACCAAACCUGUAGAGUAUGAUCUCUUGUGGAACCAAUCACCACAUUUUUUAUACAAUACAAGAGACAGAGGAAAUAUAAUGAAAAACAAACAGAUACAAACGCAAUUUUCUUCACUACCUAUUGCGAGUACGAGUACUAUAGCUACUAAUGAUACCUUUCAAACAUUAAUGAUUCAAAAUGCUCAGUUUUUUGCCUAAGUAAUUCUUAUCAUAUUCUAAGGUAAGAAAUUAUAAACUGAAUAAUAUGGUGGUACCUCUUAGCACAGAAACAAUAGGAUCUGGAAUAGAAAAGUAUAAAUAAAGCCUACCAAAUGGGUUAGACGUGCAAAAGCAAACUCUUCUUAACUUUAAAAAGGGCAAAUCAGAACUUACCUGGCUGGUUUCAUCGUGCACUUUGUAUUUCGGUAAGGCCAUUCUUCUUUCCUCCUGCAGAUACAGACACAUUGUGUCAGAUUUAAAACCAAUGGAUACCAUUCCAACAUGAUGUAUAGGAAUAAACUAACCAUAGACAUCGCUUCAUCAUCCCAUACAAGAUAGACCUCAUUAGGCUGAUUGCUAGGAGCUUUAUUUGCAAUUACAGGAGGUGGACCAAUUGAAGGACCGCUAGUGUUUGGGCCAGAGGCAUAAGAAUGAGCAUUAGUCCCACCUAUUGCAACAAAACAUGAUAAAGGUAUUACAAUUUGAUACGAAACAGCUAAACCAAACGUAAGCCAAUGAUUCUAAGAACUUAAGAUUGAACCUGGAAUAGAAUUGUUAGGUGGAUAAGCAUUUGCUGAUCCUAAAGCAUCUGCAUGAGACGGUUGCUGAGCCCCACCAACAGGCAGAGGAGCAGAAAAUGGUGAAGCUUGAGAAGGAAUGCUGUUAUUCACAACAGGGAACAGAGGUUGAGGAACCGGCAUUGCAGGUGAUGAUGAAGGAAUCCCAGGAGGAGUUACUCCAGUGACUGGUGAAGGUUGUACGACAGGAGCUGAGGUUGGCUGAGUCAUCCCCAUAUUUUGAACAGGAAAAAGUGGUUGUGGUCGAUACCCUAAAUGGGCAGCUGGAGGUACAGAAAGAGCUGGAUUUUGUGGAUACCAUUGUUGUGGACGAGGAGGUGGCAUUUGCCAUACAGGAGCAGGAUGACGCAUAGGAGGACCAGGAUAAUACCUGCUGACACGAAUUUAUUUAUCAUGGUCAAUAGCGAUACAUAUUACAAUAUCUUAGAUCAUGAACUAUUUCAAAAAAACUGUUUACUACAGGUGUUAUUGUGGUCUUCAAGAGGAACAAAAGAAUGGUUCUAGGACAGAGUUCUAUCUUGGAAAAUCCCAAGAACAAGCUAAGGAAACUAAGAACCUUAUGAAUCAUAUUUGGUUGAGUGCAACAAUAUCUUAGAUAGCGAUCUCUUUCAAAAAAUGUUUACUAAGGGUGUUAUAGGAGAACAAAAGUAGAAAAGUUCUAGGAUAGAGACAAGCUAAAGAAACCAAGAACCUUUUGCAUCAAGAGAACUAAAAGAAAAAUCUUUCCCCAUCACUUAGCAUGGAUAGGAUUUUGAAAAACAAAGAUAACAUCUGAAAAUUCAACAAGUAACUGCGACAGAGAGAGUAUAGUGUAGUUAGUACAUACAUUGGUCGUGCAGCACCAGGAACUUGUUGAGGCGGAUAUACCAUUCCAUAUGGUCUAGGAACUACACCACCAAGAGGGGCGGACGGAAUCUCAACUUUUGCAACUUUGGCUGGAGGCUCUUCCUCUGCAGAAAACAUAACUUCAGUUCAGAAGGUACCAUAUAAAAUAAGCCAAGACAAUAACUUAAAAAAGGCGAAAAGCCGCAUGCAAAAUCAAAACGAAUUCAUGACCAUUAGAUGCAACAGAUCCACAUUACUUGAUGAAGAGACAUACAAAUUCCUUGCCUUACUUCUCCAAAUGAAUUGCUGAUAAUGUAAACAGUACUCUCACUUCCUUACCUUCUUCUCCGUAAUGAGCAGCCAAGACAUCGGGUGGAAUUCCUUGCAUUCCAUAUAUUUCAAUAUCAGUUGAAUCUCGACCCGUUUUAGCAUUAGGAACCCUGGAGUGAAAAAUGUAAAAAAUAUCAAAGUUAGUAGUGUCAUGAAAAUCAGAAGAAGUGAGAGCUAUAUAAUCGUGCGUCUCCGCAAACCCAAGCUAUGGAACUAAAAGAGUUAUCUAAUCAAAUCAAACGAAAUCAGCCUAGACAAGAACUGAGUUAAUCUUACAUAGGUCUCAAAACUGAAUGAGUUACUCAACUAAACGAAGCAAAGUGAAAAAAAAAAAAAAACCAAAUUCCAAAUUCAACAUGCAAACACAUUGACCAGUACCACAAAUUCCUAGAAAAACCUAUCAAGCAAAAGCAAAAGACAGUUUCUUUACCAAAAUUUGCACACAGAAAUUAGGGUUUAUGACCAGACAUACAAAAUUAACCAAACCCAUUCAAUAGCUAACACAAAAAAAAACGAUUCAAAUUCCCUAAUCAUCCAGUAAACAUGCACAUUCAACCGAUUCAAACCACAAAACAACAAUCAAAAUUAACGCAAUCUAACAUAAAUCAAAAGACGAUCGAUCACACACAAGAGGAUAAAAAUCAGAACUUGACCAAAGAUCAUAGAGGCAUCAACCCUAAUAUCCAAAUUAACCUAAUACCAAAAAAAAGUGCUAAGAGGAGAGAGCAAAAGAAAGAGGCACAUACUUUGUAACAUUCUCUUUAUGAACCUGAAGAACAUGAAUCACCAUGCCACUAGCUGUAGAAAGCUUCUUAUGACAGACAUGACACUUAAAGUGCUUAGCUUUCUGAUGCUGCACAAGAAUCUUCUCAUCAUCAAACUCUCUAUCGCAGUAAUAACACCACACCUUCUCUGAAGCUCUCUUCUUCUUCUUACCCAUCACUAAACCUUUCUCCUAUGUCUUGAUUUCAAGAUUCUAAUUGAAAUCUCUCUCUCGUCUCUCAAAGUCUCGUUCUUUGUCUCCUUCCUCCGCUCGCUAGGGUUUCUAAUUGGUAACAAGCGUUUCUUCGAUUUCUUCUACGAUCUUCAGAUUCUCUGUUUUUUUUAUUUUAUCUAAUGGUUUACUCUUCUUUGUAUUUAUAAGAAAAGGAACUUUCUUGUGUAAUACUGCGUAAAAACCCCAAAACUUUGAUUAAUUGCAUAUGUUUCCCGAAUUCUCACUAAAUUCUAUAUUUUGUUAGUAAGAAGGUAUUGCAAAAUAGUCAGGAUGGCCGAGUGGUCUAAGGCGCCAGACUCAAGUUCUGGUCCUCGUAAGAGGGCGUGGGUUCAAACCCCACUUCUGACAAUUAUUUUUUUGUUAUUAUAAGACUUUUAAUUCUCUUUCUUUAUAGUCUCAUUGUUGACUAUGAAAACUAAGAUCGGACCCGCCGUCCACCGCGGGAGAAUAUUGAUUUACAUAUGUUGCGUUUAAUAUUGUGUGUGUUUUUUAGUAGAACGAAUCGUGUAGUAUACUUAUAAAUAUUCAUAAUAACGAAUUGUAGAGAAAAUGUAAAAUUGUUUAUAAAUAUACCCAUCGUAUUAAUUAUGAUUUUAAAAAUAGAAUUUUGUGUUUUAAAAUUCUAAAAUUAGACGAUUCAUGGGAAUUAGAACAGUCAAAAUAGGUCAAAAACCGCGGGUCGAGCCCACAUCAUCUCACUAUGGGGCAGAUUUGGGAAAAUAUAUUAAACCCGCAAAUAAGUGGGUCACAUGGAUUAAUUCGCAGUGGGUCAUAGGUUUAAUCGGUUUUCAUCCGCAGGUUGGCGGAUCAGCCCAAAUAUUAGUAUUUAUUGAUAAAAUUAUAAUUUAUUCAACAUGUGGUAAUUUAAACAAACUUUUAAUAGUAUUUUUUAUUUAUUUAUUUAUUUUAGUAGUAUUUGAAAUUUUGGUUACUUUAAAAUUAUUUAAACAAAAUCCAUGGACAAUCCCGCAAAUCCGCAUACAUUCGCGGGACGGGUUUGUAUUUCAUAUAUGCUACCCGCGGGUCGUGUGGACCGACUAACUACAAGUCAAAAUAUUUUUUGUCUAUCGCAAAACGGACUUAACGGGACGAAUCAACUCGCUUUGACAGUUCUAAUUGGAAUAUUAUUUAGUCAUACAACAAAAUGAAGUUUGGACAUAGGAAUAAUAUAAUAUGUAUCUUAUUUGUUAGAUGAGAGAUUGAAAGAUGAAGUAUAAUGAUUGAAAAUUAAUUGUUAUUUUUCAUGAUUCACAAAAUUUAAUAAAUACUUAUCAUCUUGUUGAAUAAUUCUAAAAUCAUAUUCAAGAAAUCUUUAUAAAUUGAAAAUUAAACUUCUUUGGUAAACUAUAGGUAUAAAAAUAUCAUAAUUUCGAUUUAAUCUAAUUAAAUUAAAAUUAGUUACAUGGAUUUCAUAUCUAUUUAAUUUACACGACCAAAAUAAAAAUAUCUAUUUAAUUUACACGACCAAAAUAAAAAUAUCAAUUUAAUUUAUAAAAUAGAUGGGUUAUUUGUGAUAAAUUUUCUAGAAAUCUUUAGAAGCAAGUAAAAUAUCUUUCAAUUAAUGAUAAUUGGCUAAAAUGAAUGAAAUUAAUGACAAAAACGUUGAUUGUUAUGGAAUUAGUCCCAAAAAUAUAUGAACAAAUUUAUUAUACGUAAUUAAUGUAUAAUAUUGUUCAGAAUAUGCUUUUAUUAUUAGUUAUCAUAAGUACAAUCAGAUUUUAUUUGAUUUCCAUAAAUAUUUGAUUUUAAUUCGAUUUUUCAUUAUUAAUUUGAAUUUAUAUUCCAAAAAAAUUUCAAAGAUCCGAUUUUAGAAUUUCGGGUCAAUUUUCUGAUUUUAACCCGACCCAUUUUCAUUUGUACUUCUCUUUUAAUAGUAUAGAGAUAACGUAUAAAAAAAUAUGUUGUUAAAAACAGUAAAAGAUUUUAAAUAAGAUUUUCUAUAACUUUUUUUUUAUUGUUAUGAGACUUUUAAUUCUCUUUCUCUAUAGUUUCAUUGUUGACUAUGAAAAUAACGUAUAAAAAGAAUAUAUGUUGUUAAAAACAGUAAAAGAUUUAAAAUAAGAUUUUCUAUAACAAAGAAACUUUGACCAGAAAACAUAGUUUCUAUAACAAAGAAAAAGAAACGAUAAGAGAUAAGAAUUACAUAACUAUUAGAAAAGAUUAUAAAUAAAGGAUAGUUAUUCAUUAUUUCUUAAAUACAUACAAAAAAACCUUGCAACAAAAAAUUUAUAAAGAUAUGGGUGCUAAAUUGAAUUCAAUGAUUUUAUUAAUGUUCGUGGUAACAAUGGUAAUAGCAAUGGAAAAUGUCAAUGGAGAGACAAAAGCUCAAUGCCAAGAUAAUUGCAUUCUAGGUUGUGCCACCACCGGAGCACGUCCGAACAUGUGCCUCCAGAGUUGUUACCGUAGAUGCCAAGGCAAACCUGGUCGUGCAUUAGGUAAUCAACUAACCAUUUUUUCAAAAAAAAAAAACAAUAAUCUAACAACUUUGGAAAUAUAUCAAAAAAAAUAUAUAUUUUGAUGAUUAUUGCGAUUUUUUCUAACUAUAGAAAAUAUAUUUCCUCUUUGUAUCAAUAUAUUUAUUUUGUGAAGAAUUUAAGUAAAUUCAAGUAAGUUUGACUAGUAUAAUAAUAAUUAACAAUGGAAUGUUCAAAUGAUUGAGCGAUAUAAUUAAUUUUCAAAAAUGUGAAAACAUGAAAAUAUUAUAAUAUCAUAAACUAAAAAUAUUUCUUCUUUGUAUAGUGGAAGCGCGGACUUAGAAGAGACGAAGAAGUCAUGUAUCAGUGUUGGACUCUUGGGACUUUUAAACCAAUUUUUAUUUCUACUUCUGUAUCCUUAUGUAAUCAAUUGUAACGCUAUUAAAUAAAAGAAAAUAAAAUUUGUCUCAUGUUACAAAUUUUGUCUCGACUUUAAGCAUGUCUCUGUCUAAGACUCCUCUUAGAUUUGAAUCUCAUAUUUCAUAAUUUUCGAAGUGACAUGUAGCGGCUCAUUGCUUUUCUUGAUUCAUAUUUUCAACUUUAGGUAUUUCAAAGUGUACUAUACCUUGUGGAUAAAGCAAAUCCAUAUGACCAUAUUUACAUGAGACAAAAGUGAAACCAUUAACCAUCUCUGUUUCAGCUGCAAGAGAGAAACACUUUGUUCCAAUUUAUAGACUUAAGAUAAAACUGCCACUAUCACGUUUCUCCUAUCCAAAGAAAAAAAAAGAGUACGUAAUGAAACAGCAAAAUUGGCUCUCACUUGUUUUGCCGUUUCGCUGUGCUUAAAUCCGAAGCUUUUAUAUUUUUCUACAUUGAUUUGAGUUAGAAAUAAUUGGUACGUCGCGGGACUUUCUGAUUUUAACCCUUCAUUAGCUUGGUUUUAUGCGUUGAACCUCUCUGCGGUACAUAUAUUAUUGGUAUCUUAUAAUAGCAAAAGAAAAACAAAGAAAUUUGAAUACACCAAGAAGCCAAAAAAAAAAAAACUAUGAUGAGAAGAAACUCAUCCUUAAAUGAGAGUACCGAUAAUAUGAAAUUAGAAUGGUUCAUUUCUACAAAGAAAAGAAGAGAAAAAUUAAGUUGACAAAUCAGAGAAUACCUUGGUUUCUUCACACUCGGUGAGCCAAUGAAGUGAUCCAUACGGGCUUCUUGCAAUCAGGAAUUCGAUAUGGAGAAGUACCGUUAACCAGAGCCGGUCCGGAGGGCAAGCAAGUGAAGCCAUCGCUUAGGGUCUCACAUUAUAAAAUAUUUUUUUUGGGAGAAUUUUUUUUUUACAUUAACAAAAAGGCCUAAAUUUUUAGUUAUGCGUAGGGUAUCAAAGAAAAUUUUGAAACUUUGGACCGGCCCUGCCGUUAACGUACCUCCAAGUGAUGGUGCUAAAAUCGAAAACUUCACAAAGUAGUAGCAUUGUCUAAGCCAAACUCAGAUGAAUUAUAUAACCAAGUGCCAGCUUGUAAGUCCCUAAAUUUGUCGUUACCGAAUCCAAGACUAGGACAUGAGAAGUCAUACUCUCCUUCUUCAUAACCUCUCGAUGAUGAGAUGUUGAAUGUUGGAAAGAGGAAAACUCACUGGUGUUAUGAAAACCGAGUUUUAGAAGCUGCAAAGAUACAACUAACCAUUCACUUCUUAAUAACUCUUUUUCUAACUAAAAACGUUCUCUUCUUCUUUCCUAACAUUUACGUACAACAAAAUUUUAAUUUAACCUUUUCUUUUUAUUCUUGCCAAAAAAUGAAUUUCAGCUAUUGUUGCACCUAAAGGGAGACAUCCUAGUUUUAAUUUCAGCAAUGUUCUCUAGCUUCCGUGAAAAUAUCAAUAUCCAGAUUAUGAAACUUAUGAAGUCGAAAGGAGGACUUAUUUUAAUUAUUUUAACUAUAACAUAUAUAAUGCAGACUUAUCAUUUACACAGUUGACAUAUAUAUUUUUUUGGAAAUUUCGUGUGCGUCAGGAAAUGGCUGGCAUUUAUUUUUCUUUCUUUAUAAUUUCUGCUGGAUCGUGUUUCUUUAAAAAGAGAUUUAGUUAGAUCUUUACCAAAGAAAGUAAGCGUAUGUACUUGAGAAAGAGCAAUUUGAUACGUGUCGUGUAAUUAUCGCACUAAUAUUCUAAUUAUGGUUUGUAUUUUAUAAGAAAACUUACUAGCAUCGUGGUCGGGUGGUCAUAAACAAACUAAUUAUCUUGGUCAUAAACUAAUUAUAAGAAAGCUUACUAGCAUCGUGGUCAUAAACAAACUAUGUUUUGGAAAUAAAAAGUCUUCGUCAUAACUUAAUCAUUUAGCAUAAUUAACUAAUAUUAACGUACUCGAUGUCAAAAAAUAAUAAUGUUAAUAUUCUCCUAUAUAGAAGUCAAUUCAAUAUGUCAACAAUUGGAAAAUUUCAGACUGUCUUAUGGAAUAAUGGGAAUACGUAUGAAAAAUAGGAAAAUCAGGUAUAAUAUCAAUUAACAUUUUAAUUGAUUAAUUUGACAGUCAGAACAGACAAUAACGUGUAUAACAUUACGUGACCAGAAUUGUUUAAAUAUAUUGAAACUGUCAACAAUUUGAAAAGCCGUAUUAACUUCGUUGUUAAUGUAAAUUGGUGUUGAUCUUGUGUAUAUAAAGGAAGGGCGAGACGAAAGUAAAUUUCACCAGAGACGAUACACGAACACAAAAAAAAAAAAGAGAAGUAAUCGAAACAUAAUUAAUUCAUCAAUGGCGAUGUCGGGAACAUACAUGACGGACGUUCCUCUGAAGGGAUCGGCGGAGAAACACUACAAAAGGUGGAGUAGCGAGAACCAUCUCGUCCCUGACGCCAUCGGCCACCUCAUCCAUGGUGUCACCCUCCACGACGGUGAUUGGGACUCUCACGGCGCCAUCAAGAGCUGGAAGUACACUCUUGGUUCGUAUAUCUACUCUUUUUAUGUCUAGACUCAUGAGUAUAUAGCCACUUUACAAAUGAUUUGUCUUAACAUGGAAAAAAAGUAAGGUUUGUUUAAGUAUGGUAAGAUAUGAAUGUGUUUGGUGAUCAGUAAACAAAAUGUGGUGUUUGUUUGUGUGAUGAAGAUGGGAAGGAGCAAGUGUUUAAGGAGAGAAUUGAGAUGGCCGAUGAGAAGAUGACGGUGGCGUUCAAUGCGCUCGAUGGUCAAGUCAUGGAGGAGCUUAAGGUGUAUAUAGCAAACUUACAAUUCAUCCCCGGUUCCCAAAAUGGCUGUGUUUGCAAAGUUAGUGUGAUUUGGGAGAAACGCACCCAAGACUCCCCAGAGCCCACCAUGUUCAUGAAGUUUCUCGAGAAGAUGGUUGCUGACAUGGAUGACCAUAUCCUCCAAAACGAGGAAUGAUGGAUCGAUAUUGUUUAAUCAUCAACAUGAGGAAUUAUGUACGUUUGUAUUUUAUUUGUGUUCAUCUUGUAUAAUCAUGAAAUUACUACUUAUAUAUUAUCAUCAUGGUGUUGUAUGUCCAAAUUUCAAAAAUCUAAUAUAUACAAUUGUUUAGUUAUUCAUAAAGCAAAAGUGUUAUUCACUACGAAUAUUUUAGUUAUUUCGAAUUCGAAGUGUGGUAACUUUUUUUUUUUUUUUGAUAAAAAAGUGUGAGGUAACUUUUGGAGAAAUUAAAGAAAGUCCAUAUUUCCCACGAAACAUAAACGGAUACCAUUUUAUGCACAUAACUAAGAUAUAACGCCCCGGACCACAUUUUUGCUAUCCGUUGCAGCCAGAAAAAAUAAGAGUAAUGCAACCAAAAAAUUUUGUUUCAAAACAUCUCUAAGAUCCAAUAUAUGCACAUAAGAUCAUUACCACAUUUCUCCUACCCGUAGAAGCCAAAAAAUAAUUAAGAGUAACGCAACAUGAAGAUUGGUCAGAACAUCUCUUGUGCUCCGUAGAUGUCACUUGUUUUGCUCUUUGGGGGAGGCAGUUUUUCUAACACCCAGCUCGGAGAGUCACUUAGCCAGAGACCUACACCGGUUUCUUUGUGCUUAAAAUCCGGCGCUUUUGGGUGUCUCUGCAUGGAUUAGAACUAUAAAUGAUUAGUAUGUUACGUAUAUGUGAAAACGAUUGAUUAAAAGGUAAGGGAGUUUUCACCUUGUCCAAUCUAUUGUCCCACCACUUAUUCAUGUUUUCCACCAAGUCCUUCCAUGAUUCCUCUCCGGCUUCAAAUGUUUUACAGAAGCAAGAUUGUUAAACAAUUAAACAAAAUUCGAUUGCAUCUUCUGAGUUAGAGACAAAAUGUUUAGUUGUCAUUCCAAUUCAUAGACUAUUACAGAUUCAUUGGUAAGCAAAGAGUUUCCUUACCCUUUGGUUUUGGUGCAUAUUUUGGAAUAUCAAACUUCACGUCUUCGAGCUCGGACAAUAUCUCUGUGGGAGCUUUGUUAAGCCAAAGAGCUUGACUCCCGUCUUUCUUCUUGAAAUCAGGGUGUUUAGGAUUAACCUGUAGCAAGAGAUAUCAAGAAAAAGAAAGAAAGAAGAACCUUAGACAAAUGUAUCACGGAAUUGUAACAAAAAGAACAUACUAAGACAAGUUUAAUUACCGAUCCGUUCUGUUUGCUUUCACGGUAAUCACACCAUUCAUCCGGUUUAUCAACAAGAUCAAACCAAAGAUUAGUUCCAACAUCUCUUCCUCUUUGAACGCUAGCUAAGAACAAGAAGACAAAUGUUCAUGGUUAUUACCAAUUUUAAACAUCCAAACCAGUAAGAAUAUCACAGUACUGAAAAAAUAAAACCGGGAUUUCCGCGCUAGACGCUUAGCUUACCAGAAUGCUUAAGCACACCUUCAUUUUGAUUCACCGUUGGCAUAACUUUUGGUAGGGCUUUAGAACCUUCAAUGUAGUGGAGAUCACGAACCAUAACUUGAUGUGAAAAGCUACCAUGAAAGCUUUUAAACAACUGAACACAUGCUUGGUCAGAAUUUGCUCCAGAUUGAAUCACAUCUCCUAAAAUCUGUCCGGUAAUAUGAACCCGAUCGUUUUUCUUCAAAUAACUGUUAGCCGUAUGAGCUAAAUCCCCUUCAAACAGUACCGGAAUCCUAAUGUUCACAAAAUCAAUAAAUGUUUUAUCAAUAACAAUAAACCAAUGCAUCAUCCUAACAAAGAUCAUUGCAAUUUCAACUUCAUAACAAAGAUAAGCAUAAUCAACAUGUCCAAAGUAAAUUUCACAGAAACUUAGUAAUACAAGAACCAAAUCCACAAGUACUCAUCAAAAUGCAGAAUCAAAACCCAUAAAUUCACAGUUCAUGGCUUAAAGUCUUAAACUUUACAAGAACCAAAUCUACAAGACAAUCAACAAAAUUCAGAAUCAAAGCCAUAAAGUCUUCGACUUUAGCGACUUUAGCCAAGUACAGAGUUGCAAAACGACAAUAGACCAACAUGCAAAACUCUAAAACCCAAAAAAAGCAACAAAACUUCAAAGACUAACCAGAAAUUACUAGACGAAUCAGACACAGAUUUGGAAUCAGAAGAAGGUUCAUGCGAAAUGACUGUGCCUGCCCAGAAUUUUCCAUCGAGAGUAGAGUCGAACUGAACUGGUUGGUGAACGUACCCAAUCAAAUCAAUAGAAUUCGCAAUUUUGGGUUGGUACGGUACCUCCGUCGGUCUCGGCCACUCUUCCGUCGAUUUCUCAGCUCUGCUUCCUCCUCCGCGAGUACGGCUACUACUUUCAGCAGAAAAAGUUGAAAGAUAUUGGUGAGAAAGAACCCAUGAUUGUUUAGAAGCUGAAUUUAACGAAGGUCUUAUGGAUUUCGAUAGUGAUCUUGCAAGAAACUGCAUUUUGGAGAAGAUUCAAGUUUUUAGGGUUUAUGGGGUUUGACGACAAAGAAAGAAAGAGUUCGCCUUUUUAGAUUCUCGUUUUCGACAAAGAAAGAAAGAUAAAACGACGUCAUUCAAAGUUAACCGAAGCAUAAAGAACCAAACCAAAAUUGAUUCGAAAUUUGAAAAUAUCCUAAUGAAUCCUAAAUUAUAGAACUGCAACACAACCAAAAUAAUUUAGGUUUCCGAAAAUAUUCGAAAUAUAAUUUUUAAAAAUAUUAAUUUUUUUUAGACAAUAUAAUCAAAAAUAGUCGAAAAGUAUCCAAAAUAUUUAAAAAUAACUAAAAAUAUGUCCAAAAAUAUUUGAAAAUAAUUGAAAUAUCCGAAACAAAAUAUCCGAAUGAUACUAAACUAUAAAACCGAAAUAAUUGAAACCGAACCGAAAUUUAAAAUACUUUAGAACUAAAACCGAAUGAAACCGAACUGGAUACCAUUAGGACUAUGUUUUUUCUUAUAAAACGUUUCGUUUUUGACGGGGCAAAUUUAGAGAUCGCAGAUUUUAUGAGGGUUAUUUUGUAAUUUAUAUUUUGUUUAGUUCUAACUUCACCGUCCGCGGCGGGAGAGAACGCUGGGAAAACAAAGAAACCUUCAAAUCGGGAAAUUCGAGAAACCCUAAAUCGACGAAAAAGAGGUAUCUUUGAAUCAGAAGCUUAGUGUGUUCAUACGAUGAAGAGUCAAUGGUCUAAUUUCCAUCAGGUUUUUCAUCUUUCCCUGGUCUUAGACUCUCGACGUUGUCCAAUUUCGUACCAUCUCUGAUUCUAUUCUCAAACUCGUUGUCUUCGCAGAUUGGGAGAAACUCUUUCUUAGCUGCUUCUGCUGUCUACGUUUCAAGCGAAUUCAACUUCGUAAACACAUCUCUUCUUAAUCGAAGAAGCUUCUGUUUUGCAGAAGGAGGUAAAUUUCUUAAUAUUGGUUGUGUGAUACUUUUCAAUUGUUCUUGCAUAGAUACAUGAAUUGGUUCAAGGGUUUGGUCUAGAUUGUUGUUUUAGCUUGAUUGAAUCGAAAAAUAUGUGCUUUAGCUUGAUGGUGAACUGGAUUGUUUACUUUUCUGAUAAUCAAAUUUUAGCUGAUCUCUGUAAUUUGCUAUUUAGAUCGAUCCAGCUUUGUAGUGUUGAAAUCGGAGGCGGAGUUCAACAGUGCAUUGAGUAAAGCUCGAGGUAGAUAAAUGAACAAUCAUGUGUUUCUUUUGUUAACUACUUCAGAGCUUAGUAUUAUCAGCUCUGCUUAAUUUUCUCUUGAUGUUAUCUAUUUUUUUCAGAUGGAUCUUUGCCAUCGGUUUUCUAUUUCACUGCCGCUUGGUGUGGACCUUGUAAGUUUUAGUUCCAUGAAAGCUUGUGGAUAGUAGUUUUUUCUACGAGUUGCGUUAUUAAGUUAUGUAUUAGUGGUUUGACUCUAGGCAGGCUUAUCUCUCCUGUAAUAUUGGAGCUCAGUAAUAAAUAUCCUGAUGUAACAACGUAUAAGGUCGACAUUGACGAGGUAUGUUUGCGUUUAUAUAUCUAUCAUCACUGGCAUGGCUUUUAUAGGUCUCUACAAGUGUCAUCAUGCGACCGAAUUCACCAUUGUUUAUGGUUUUUUUCUGUGGUUAGAAGCUUUUAAAGUAUCUUCUAUCAAAUCCUUUCAAUUAGUCGAUAUGUCGAACCAAAUGAAUAACUCAACUAACCUAAAGUCUGAGAUAUAUUGCUACACUAUGGUUGCUUUAACUGGUUGCUGAUGUCACAUCCUUCAAAGCGACAUAAGUCACUUCGACUGAUAUUUUGUGGUUGAGUCUCACAGACAUAAAGCUAUCUUCCUAUGAGUGCCAUUGUAAGCUCCAUUGACAAAGAUAUCUCCUAUUCCAUAUUUGCAGGGCGGUCUUUCAAAUGCUAUUGGGAAGUUAAACGUCUCUGCUGUGGUAACAUCCUCUGUUCCUUUCAAAUAUUACUUUUACAUUCUCAGAUCAAGCAUGAACUAGUGUUGCAUCUAAAUGAGCUCUAAUGUUAUCAAUGUUGAGAUCCAUCUGAUGAGGCAUUAUGAUAAUUUGAUGAAUGCAGCCAACACUGCAAUUCUUCAAAGGCGGCGUGAAGAAAGCAGAGAUUGUUGGCGUUGAUGUGGUGAGGCUGAAGAGUGUCAUGGAACAACUAUACAAGUGAGAGAAACUUUCUGACUUAUGUACACUACAUUGCUUUGAGUUGUGAUUAUUUUGUGCGUUUGCUUUAAGUUAGAUUAUUUCAUUCUCGUGUUCCUGCAAUUCAUAAGGGUGUAAGUUUGGUUUCUGUUAAAGAGUUUUUUCGGUUUAUAGUAUAAUAAAGACUUUAAGACCAUCACUGUGACUUUUUCCUCACAAAGCACUUGAUUAUCGUAUUACAAGCGAACAACAUUCGACCUAUUCGAAGCCCAGAAGACUUUAUGAGUUAAAAUAAAAUGUUGUAUGAGUUUAUGUUGACUAAUGUAACUUAUAAGUUUCAUUUUAAAUCGUGAAAAAAAAAGAGAAUGUGAUUUGAACUUAUUUCUUGGCCCAAUAUGGAUGAAACAGAGUCGGGCUGGUCUUAAGAAGAUGAUCCAUGUGAUUUUCUCGACCAAUAUAAAACAUUUUAACCGGAACAAGAAGUACUAGGGGGUAGGAGUGUCAAAAUGGGUAACCCGACCCGACCCAAACCCAUAUGGGUUCGAGUGUUUAAUGGAUGGGUUUGAUCCGACCCAUAUAUUUAUAUGGGUUGAAUUUACAUACCCAAACCCAUUAUUAUAGAAAUCCAUUAGCUUAAUGAGUUAUAUGGGUACCCAUAUAUAUGUAUAAUAAAAUAAAUCCAAAAAAAUAACAUAAAAUUGUAAACCAACAAAAGUUUUUAAAUAAUAAAUUAAAAAAUCUAGAUAUUAAAAUAGAAAAGCAUCCUAAAAUCUUAAAACCACAAAUCCAAAGAACCAUAAAACCAAAAAAAAAAAAAAAAUAGUCUUAAUUUAAAGAACAUUUGAAUCCUCUUUAGAUGCAUCCGAUUCUCCCGCAUCGAAUUCUGGCCUCAUUCUUCAUCUUCGGCUUCAUUGUCUACAAACGAGUUGGAAAAAAUAUUAUACAUAUAUUUUACUUUUUACUUUUAUUUUUAGGUAAAAUGUAAACUUUAAUAGUUAUUUUAUAUAUUUUACAUAUAUAGUUGUAAAGAAAAGAAGAUAUUUUACAUAUAUUUAUAUAAAUUUUACAUAAUAUAUUAAUAUAGAUGUAUAUAAAUUUUACUUUUUAGUUUUGGUUAUGAAACUCAUGGGUAAUCCAUGACCCUAAUGGGUUUUACCCAUUAAACCCAUAACCCUAAUAGGGUAACCCACUAAAACCCAUUUAUAUAUAUGGGUAAAAAAAUUUUACCCAAACCCACUAAAAUCAUGGGCGGGUUCGGGUAAUCCAUGGGUAUUAACCCAUUUUGACACCCCUACUAGGGGGACUUCAAAUUUGGCUAAACCAAAUCAAGAUUAAACCGGAAAAUGACAGGACAGUGGUGAAAAUCAGUGAUAAGAGAAGAAGAAACAAAUACAAAGGAGGGAGUUAGAUGAAUGAUAGUGAGUAGGACCGGAUUUGACCGGUAUAGUACAAUCUGUUUUUACAGCUCCAUACAGAGAGACUUAACAAUCAUUAAUGAAUGAGAACAUAUUAUGUAUAUACACAACUUCUUAUCUCUAUCCUUUUAUGAUUUUAUCUUUGUCCUUCUUCUCUUUGUAUCGUAACAUUACCAUUGGAUCGUACCCGAUACAAACGAGAAAAAAAAAACUACAGAUUCGAUACUGAAUUAUUGAUUAUUACUCGAAGUUUCAUAAAUUUUAUAAGUCAUCAGAUACUAUUGUAAUUAAAAAAAAAAUGGGAAAAGUUUUGUAAGAAAUUGCAAAACAAAUUGUGUAUUUUUCUUUUUGUUAAAGACAACUAUGUAGACUUACAAGUAAUGAUUUCUCAAAAAUUUCAGAAUUCUUUUUGAAUAAUUCCAAAACAAUUGUAAAUUUUCUUAAAUAUUUGUAAGUUUUCAUCGUUUUCUGUUGCACAUAAAUAUAACCGAAAAAUAAACAUCACCGAUAAUUUAUCGAAUGAACAAGAUAGAUAUGCAUUUUCGUCUAAACUAGUUUGGACAUUUAUUUUUAGAUAUAUAAUCAGAAAAAUAAAUAUUUCGUCAAUUUAAAGCAAAACAAAGUUGUGGGAGUCUUUUAGGCAAUGGUUUAGCAAGGGUUUUAUGCUUAUACACCAAGUCACCAAGUCAUGAUUUCAAUCCUCAUCAAAUAUGAAUUAUUACAUAGUAAUGGAUGUAAAUUUCAAGAAAAAUUGACGUUUCAAAAAAAAAAAAAAAAACAUACAGAAAAUUUCUUAUGUGGUGUUGGUUGAGUCAUUCAUUAAGAUUUCGUGUGUGUGGUAAAAAUAAUUUUUUUUAUCGUGAGUGUGGUUCACAUAAAACUAGCUAGUGUGGAUCGUUGUUGUGUGUGUGGAACUGUUUACUUGUGAAAGUGUUUGUAAAAUCGUUUAUGUUGUUUUUUAUGUUGCAUAAAAUUAGUAUUGCUUUACUAUGAGCAAUAAGAUCAUCAUCAAUAUGAAGAUUAUUUUCUAAUGAUCUUAUUUUUGCAUGUACUUAAGUAAUAAAAUCUAAAUGGAACUUCACUGGCCAGUUUAGUCAUUGAAAGAAAUCUUAGAUUGUCACAACUAUUCAAUUUUAGAUAUAAAAUUCUCAUAACUUUUUUUUAUAAUAAUCCUAUUUAAGGUAAAAUCCUUUUGUGGUCUUCUUUUACUUCAAUCCUUCUUUUGGUUUUAUCGAAAGGAAGUAGUAUAUAAUAAUUUUCUAAUAAUAAUGAUAAGAAAAAUAAAUGGGAUGAGAGAGAGGAGGAGGGUGGGGAAUGGUCAAAGGAGAAGGACAAUGAUUUGGCCCUCUUUUGUUUCUUCAGUACUUUUAUUUCAGUCUCCUUUUAUUUUCCAUAUAUUAUCUCUAAUCUUAUCAUCUUUUUUGCUAUUCAUAGCAAAAACACAAUCUAUAGUUAUGCUUAAACAGACUUUGAUAGCCAAAAGCUGUGAUAAAGUUUUAUACAAUUAAGUGCUAACUAUCUAUGAAACUUUUAGAAUUCCUUAACUUUUGAGUGGUUUUUAUAUGAGUUAUCAAUACUUGAGGCAAUGAUCCUUCAAUUAUAUUUGGCAAAUUACCGAUAAGUUAUAUCAUAUGUGGAAAAAGAAAAAUUAACAACCUUGAUUACUAGGUAAGGAAGAAGCUAUACUAUAGGGUCAAGAUGUUCUAUUUGGUUCAAUCACAACAUAUAUUUUGUCAUUUUAUAUAAUUAUUAUAUAUUAGUGCAAUUAAGAUUGAAGAUACCAUCCUAUGUCUUGUCAUAUCAAAUAAGAUUAUGCCAUUCCCACAAAUAUAUUUGAUAAAGAAUAAUACACUCAGUUUGUCUUCUACUAGACUGUGAUAUAGUUAAAUUUAUUGCAAUUUUAUGAUGCUUAUACAUUUAUGAUGGAAAACAUAUCAAAUGUCCUCAAAUUUGAGAUAUCUAGAUUCAACCUAUAAAUAUCCGUAUUUGGCUUCUGUAUAUCCAUCCAAAAAUCAGAAUCAAAUUCGUAAAAAUAAAAAAUAAUUUAUUAAUAAAUAAAAUAACGAUAUCAAAUCCUACAUACACUAAUUUUAAAUUAAAUAUCUAUAUAACAUUUUGAUUAUAAGAUAUCAUAAAAUAACAAAAUUUGAUUAUUAUAUGUAAAUUUAUAAAUAAAAGAUCACAAAACAAUUUAUUUUAUAUAUAUGAUCCCUAUAUCCAAAUGUUAAAAUUAUGAUACAUAAUCGAAUCCGGACUCAGUUUCGAUGGAUCCAACAUACUCUUUGUAUGUUAAAAGGUUAUAUGUCAAUUUUAUGUAAAUAUAUAAAUUUUGAUUAUUCUAUGUAAAUUUAUAAUAAAAGAUCACAAAACAUUUGAUUAUAUAUAUAUAUAUAUAUAUAUAUAAUCCUUAUAUCCAAAUAGUAAAUUAUUAUACAUAAUCGAAUCCGGACUCAAUUUUGAUGGAUCCAAAAUACUCUUUGUAUCUUAAACGGUUAAACAUCUUAGACUUAGACUUCUGAAUUUUUGAAUCAAUUUUAAAUCCCAAAUAAAAAUUUAAUCCAUAUAUAAUAUUGUAUAAAAGAUAAAUCGCGAUGAAAAAAUCACUAAUAAAUCACUUGAAUAUAUUUUCAAAAACCCGUCGAAAUAACUUGGUUUUUCCCGUUAAGUAAUACAACUGAUAUGUAGUAGAAUUUUCUGUAAUUAAACUGCAGUUUCUGGUAAUUAAAUCAAGAACAUUGUCACCCAUUUGAACUCUAUAAUCAAGAAGACAAAACAAGAUCGGUAGGAGGUCCUCAGAGGCCAAAAGGACUGACAAGUGUUUUCAAUAAUGAGAGUGAUCUUUUGGAGCAGUGAGUCAGAUCCAUCAAAAUGGAGAAGACUAUUUCUCUCUCCUCUCUCAAUUUCAAUCUCAAAGAAGGUCCCAUCUAAAGAAAGGCUAAUAGAUUGCCAGAUUCUGCAGGGAGUAAAUUGGCCAGCUAGUCUUUCUUUCUAUGGUCUCUCUGCACCACCACCUUCAUCAUUUUCAACCCUCCUUUUUUCUUCACAUUAUAUUACUAUUACUAUAUAGUUCCGGAAAAAAAAAAAAAAUUUCUUGUGGAAAUAUGAACUUUUCAUCACUAUUCAAAGAAAUUAAAACCAUAAGUUAAUUAUGGGGUUUUAAUAAAACAAAUUAAUUAGUUAAUUAUGGUUUUAUAUCACAAAAUUUCAAAAGCAUUUGAAUUUGAAAACAGUUUGAGUUUUCAUAUAUACAAAUACAAUAAUCCAAGAUAGUAUAUCACUUGAUCAUGUCGACCAAAACUUAAGACGUAGAUCAGUCAAAACCUUGCAUAUAUGCAUCAGCAUAUAAUAUUAACUCGAUCACCAAAGCAAACCAAUGAUCUAAUAUUAAGGGAAAUAAACCAACGAUCUUAAUCUAUUAAUUAGUUAACAUUUAUAAAAUUAUAAUCAAUGUCUCAAAGCUUUAGAGACAAUUGCUUAGUCGAGAGAUACAUGUACAUAAAUGGUUAUUGACUUAUUGUGACUCAAAAACAAAAUGGCAAAUAAAGGAUUACUUGAUUUUUCAAGUCUCAUGUCUUAAGUCUCGCGAUAUUAAAGGAGGCAAAACAAUUUUUGUUUACAUUUACAUCAAACCCUUUAUAUGUGUUUGCAAUUUGUUUCUCCUUGAGAUAAGUUUGCUUUCUUCUUGAAAGCUUUUUGUAUCUCUUUUAUUGUGUCUCAAAAAUAGGGGUUUGUAGUUUAUAACUAAGGUGCAUAGUCAUUGUCAUGUGCAUAGAGGGGACAUCCUAAGAAAACUCAAUAAAAUAAAUUAAAAUACUUUGAAUUGCUCAUUUUUUGUAUUUUUACUAUAUAUCUUUCUAAAAUAAUUACGUGGGUCCUUUAGAGAGUGAAGCCUACACAUUACAAAGAUAUCGACAUCAUGUAGGUUCCAUUUAUAUAAAUGAUUGAGUAAAUGGUCAAAAGCUUCUAUCAUGCCAUAUGCCUUAACUCUUUCUCUCUUUCUUUUUUCUUGGAACAAAUAUUCCAAAUGAAACUCAUUGUGUUAACUAUUUUUUUAAUUUAAACUCCUAUUACGGUUAUAGAGAUUUGACUUAACGAGUAUUCGAAUUUUGCGGAAUAAGCAUAUUGAUACGACAAGAAAACAUCAUUGCACAAAUAACUGUAAUGCAUUGGAUUCUAUGAAUAACUAAAUACACAAGCUUUCAAUACAAUCAAUUUCAAGUUAUAAAGGCUUUAAGAUUAAUUAAAGUAAAAAAAAAAGCUUGAUCCGGGGAAAAACAAACUUUGAGAACUAUUAGAAAAAUUUAAAGUCUUAAAUCCAAUAUUGUAAUUUAAUCUUGAAGAAAAACUAGAUAAAAAUUCUUAUAUCAAAAUUUCCACAUUAUUAUAUAAAAUAAAUAAAUAUUAUAUAAAAAUAUUUCUUUGACUUGCAAUUUGUUGCGAGAAAACUCCUUGCAACUUUUCAUGAUAUCAGCAAAAUAUAAAGUAAAUCAAUUUGCAUAUACAUUUGGCCCGACCUUGAUUACAACAUUCUAACCGUCUUGGUAUCUCUCAUUAUUUUUGAGACAUGAGCCAUGCUUGUACUUUAGAAAAUUUGUAAGACUUGUUUGAUUAGUUUUAUCUAUCACCACCAUUUAAUAUGAUGUUUUAUCGUCAUUCACGAUUUCACAUGAUACGAAAAAUAAUGAGUCAUACGAAACUUGGUUUGAGGCUUAAUUGUGGUUAUAUCAUUAAAAGCCACUUAUCUGAAGAGACGGGAGGUUAGAACGUAAGAGCAAGUCCAAUGGUGUUUCUUAGUGAAGUUCUUAAGAAAUCCUUAGUUUAAAAAAUCAUUAAAAUUAAUGAAAACAAGAUACUAUAGUUUCUUAGCUUAAGAAUUGUUUCUUAGUUUAGAGUUUUAGGAUUUGUUAAGGACUCAUGUUGUGUUGUUUUGUGAUUGGGUGAGGAAAAAAUAUAGAAGCCAAAAAUAAAUUUAUCUUUUGUUUUUUGUUAUUCUGCGACACUUAUUUUUCUGUCUUGCAAAAAUUUAUCCUUUUUUUCUUGUUUAAAUGCUAAAGUCUUGUUUUUGUGAAUGAAGUUUUACUAAGACUCAGAUUCAUAUAUGGUAUAAAUUUGGCACGAAUUAAGCUAACGACUAAUCGUUAUUCCGGUUUUUGAUUUAUAUUUUUUAUAUGCUUUUAUGUUUUGUAUGUUUAAAAUUUUAGAAAAUUAUAAUAAUUAUUAAGUUUUAUCAAAUAAAAAUGUUUAUAAUUUUCAUUUUAAAAAUAAUUUUUUUUUAAGAAACUCAUUUAAGGACUCUACCAUUGGACAAUGAAAAUUUUAAGGAUUCAACACAAACUCUUAAUUUUAAAAUUAUCACAAUUUAUAAUAAAAAAAUGUUUAAGAGUCCUUUUAUAGACUUUACCAUUGGACUUGCUCAACAUACACACUUUUUUUUUUAUAACUAAUGGGUGAUUUAAAAAACAAAUUGUGCUUGAUUACUAAAUUUUAAUAAUGGAUAUGUCGAAUAGUAGAAUUGUUGUGAGAUUAUUUUAAAAGAAGUUCCCAGCAAAUCAAUUACACUUUUCUUAUACAAAAAAAUAUAAUUGUUUCAAUUUUUCAAACAUUGAAUAUUAUUUUAAAAUUUGGAGUAAUAUCAAAGAACAACGAGACAAAGGACCUGAUUGGUUAUGGUUGUAGCUUUAGAUUUUUGUCGGUAGAAUAUAGGCUGUAAAUUUUUUUGCAAUAGCUUUAAGAUUUUGACUGUGAUUUUUCAAAAAUAAAAGCAUGAUUGGUAAAUCUAAAUGUAGAUUUUCAAAAAAAGAAAACGUGAUUGUAAUUGAUAAGUUUAAAUUGUGUAUUAAAUAUUAAUAAAUUUUAAAACAAGAUUUUCUAAAGUUUGGGCUGUGUUAUAGUGAUGUAGGAAUAUUUUUGGAUGUGGAAAGUUUCUAUAACCACUACCAAUCAUCCUCAAAGAAAUUCCACGAGAUUUGGACAUUCCAAACAUCUAAACACUUCACAAAAAAUCUGAAUUCCAAUUUUAGUAAUCUCCACAAUUUAUCAUAUAGUAUAAAUUGAAAAAAAAAAUGACUAUAGAAAAAUGUGUAUUUGCAAAAUUCUUUCAAGGGGAUUAAAAUGUACACGAAUUUUUUCUAUAUUUCAUGUGCCACUCGAAUUUUACCAAUUUUGAACAAACUUGGCCAUCAACCUAAUUAACUUAAAUUAUACUUCCAAAACGUUUUUCCGCAUACAUCUCAUCUUCAUGUGUUCCACUGCAUUAGUUGUUUGCCCUCAUCAGAGACUUGUUGCGUUUGCAGUGCCUAGUAUAAAAUCAUAGAAUGUAUACAUAAAUAUAAGUUAGCAUAAAUAAUAUAUUUUCUUGAUAAAAGUAAAUAAAUAAUAUUGAUAUAGAUAUUUUUUUUCGACGAUAGAGAAAGAGAUCUUAGUGGACUUCUGCAACUAAAAAGGCUGUAUGACACACACACACGUCCUAUUGUUUCCUAUCUGUCCGACUACCUAGAACCUCUUGUGCCUUGAAGCACAGGCUGUCCAGGUGAUACAUAUCCAUUAUCAUAUUUACUUAUAAAUAAAUGUAUAUAUUAAUGUAUUAGUGUAUGGACUCAUAUUGUAUUAAUAUAUAUUUGUUGAAAGUGACCCCAAAUUUUUUUUGUAUCAUUUAUAGAAAAACAAUUUAAAUGUUCAAAAUCAUAUGAAAUUUUGCAGUGAAUAUAGGCAAAAUAAACAUUAAACACAAUAAAUUAAAGAUGUACUACUACAGGAUUUUUUUUUGUUUUUUUUAUUUAUGCGCAUCCUAAAUAAUCUUAAUGAAAUUGUAUUUUAUUAUAUUAUAGAAAUUUGUAGUUUUUUUUUAUAAAAAAUAAACGUCAGGAGUCAGGUGGCAAUUGGCAUGGUUCUUGAGAAAGUCUGAAUGGGAACCCAUCUCUCCGAUAAACAAAUAAUUAGAUCCCUAUUUCUUCCCUUUUCUUUAUUAUUUUGUAUUAAAAAUCAUAUAGAUCCUCACCAAGAAAAUGUUGAAAAAAUCAUCUACAUUUCUAAAAUUAUUUCCUCCUGCACUUUAUUUUUACUUUUUUGUUCCAUAAUAUUUUCCAUAUUAAUUAAAAUUAUUGUUAAAUAACAGUUGAUAAAAAUAUUUAAAUUAAUGGAAAAAAUCAUACAAAUAAAUUAAUGAUAAAAACUAAUGAUGAAUAAUGGAAAAAUGAAUUACUAUAUUUUCUUGUAUAGUAAACUAAUCUAGAUUGGGACCAGUAUAAGAUACUACCAAAAUUUUGUUUUUGCUACCAGUGAAAAAGAAAAUCAUUUGCUAUCAAUUACUGGUAUGAAUACAUAAUAGCUAUUAAGUCUUACUAAGUUAGUAUACUAGUUACUAUUUUAAUAGAAUUAUCUUAUAAAAAUAUUAAGACCAAAGCCAUUGCAUUUGCAUGUGGAGGAGAAGAACAUGAAGGCAUUUUUGGCAGAGAAAGACACGUGUCAAAAGCCCGUUUUACCACGUACUGUAUGUACGCCAAUGGCCUUAUGCUACAAAACUGUUGCAUAGAUUAGAUUGUUACAAAUAUGGAAACCUAAUACGAAGAAGUGGCCCGACCAUGUGCUUUUUAUCCUCAUCAAUCUCUGAAUAAUCCCCUUUAUUUCUUACGACAUAUUAUUAUUAUCAUACUUUUCUCUAAUUUUUUUUUUUGCCCUGAAUUUAGUAAACUGUUCCUUAAUUUUUUUCACUAAAUUACGCACACGUGACGUUUUUUUUUUGGUUUAUCACUGGAGAAGCUAAUUAGAUCACUAAAUCAUGUACUUCUUGUACGAAAGUUUUGAAAAGUUAUUUCUGUAAGACUGUAAUUGUUUUUUUUGUUUUUCUUUUUAAUAUUAACUAUUAAAAUGACUAACUUGAAAAAGGAAAAAAAAGAGUAUUAAGACUGCAGCAGAAAUAGGUUUUACGUGUGUUCUUUUUUUGGGGUAUCUUUGAAAAUAAAUCUAAAAGACUUAGUUGUUUUACUGAAAAUUGAAUCCAAUAAUACCUAUAUAGUUUAUAAAUUUUAUUUUCCCGGGAAAUAUUUUAUCACUGGUUUGGAAUUUUAUGGUGUAAGAAAGAUCCUCCUGAUGUCUAUAAAAACGAUUUAAUUUGCUUGCAUAAUUGUCCUUUGAAAUGUUUUUAUUCAUAAGAAACUAUUGAUAAAAUAGCCCGACCAUGAGGUGGGUUUAAUUCCCGAUGAAGGAAUCCAGAUACAAUUGCAAGUAAAACAAACUUAGAGUUCCUACAAAUUAAUUGAUAAAUCAUAAUAUAAACAUUUUUCAGAACCACUAAUUAGAUUGUGAAAACUAUCACUAACUAGACUAGAAAACCAAUGUAUUUUAUAUUUUUAAAAUCAAUAUUGUGCAGUCUCUACACAUGACCUGCUGUAAAAUGGACAAACUUAAAAUAAUCAAUUCCCACCAAAUAAACAACAACUAAGUUUUUAUGUGUUUAACAUACUCUUAAAAUACAAGAGUUAAUUAUGUUUAGACUUCGUUUGUUCAAAAAUAAAAAAUAAAAAAAAUAAAAAAAUGUUUAGACUCCAUAUAUUUGUGGUACUCCGCUUUAUAUAAUUUACAUUUUCUGCAAAAAAACCCAUCAAAAUAGCUAUUUUUUUUUGGUAAUUUUAUCUUUUAUCUUCAAAAAUAGAAACUACUCUUUAACUAUAGAAUUUAAUUAACUAUAGAUCAAGUCUUGUCGAAAUCUAAAUAACGGUAACAAAAAAACAUGUUUAAGCAUCAACAUUCUGUGUAUAUAUCAAAUUAAUUACUAUGAUAUCAACACACAAAACAUAAAAUUGAUAAAUGGAAAACUUAUUAUUGCUUAUUUUCUGAUGAAAGUAGACAACAUUUUAUUUAUACUAGUAUAAGUAGAAAAACGGUGUUGAUGUAAUUGAUGACGCAGCAAAGACUUUUCAGCAGUCCCCGUGAAAACCUGUCGUCGUCUCUUCCCUCUCCCAAUGAAAUUUACCCAAACUACGAGUCCUCUCCCUUCUUUUAAAGUUCUUUAGUUUUAUUAGUCUACACUUAUUACGACGAAUAUACUUUUAUAAAGUACCAAAAUCACAUUCAACUUCUUUUAUUCAUGAAGAGACCAAUAAUUCAUCAACAAAUACAAGAAGCUAAUUUCACAUUACCCACAAAAGAAAGAAAAAAAACCCCACAAAUAACUAAACACAUUUUCGUGAUAAAAGAGUACUACUUAUUUUAUCGUACCCGUUAUAAGAUAUACCUAAUAAAAGAAACACGAUACAUAUUUAUAUGGAAUGCUUAUUUUUUAAAUAUAUGUAAAUGAUUUUUGCCUAUGAUUUUAUUGUUUUAUAAUUAUGAAAAAGGAGCCCUAUGAGGAGCACCUUUUCUUCUAUUACCAAGUGAUGAAAGAACCAUCCCAGGCAAGUAAUUGUUCUCUUGCUUCUUCUUCUUGUUCUUCUUCUUCUCUUUUUUAUGACUAUUGUUACCUUGCUCUGAUUCAUCUGAAAUUACCAUUAUAUCCUCCGCAUCCUCCAUGGUCGAUAUUUCUCCGAGCUGAUCAUGUCCGUCCAUUCUCAAACCCUCGAACGUGAAGUCCGAUUCAUCAAUUCUAUAGAGAACGCUUGAUAAAUCAUCUCCUUGAUAUGAUAAAUAAUCCACCUGCAUUCAUAUUUUUUAAUCAUUGUUAGGUAACAUAAUUGUGUCUUUAUAAUAAUAAUAACGCAUACGGCUAAUAUUGGACAUGAUAGUUCAUAACCUAGGAAAGUGCCCACUUUGUACUUGCACAUGUGUUUAAGAAUAUUAAACAAUGAACACAAUCCAAGAAAUUUCUUAACAUGAUUAUAAAGCAUGAAGAGAAAUAAAAAAAACAGCUGUUUCCCAAAGUUUUGUUUUUUCAUCUUUAGUGUAAUGAUUUAUUAAUAAAAACUUUAUGUCAUAUGGUUAAAAGUUGAAGCAAUCAUUCUAUUCUAUUAUUUUUUUCCAACUUUUACUGAAUAUAAAAAAUCAACAAGUGAAUCUCAAGAAUUAAUGGGUCUCACUUUUGUCAUUCAUGGGUCAACUAUGUCAGCAACUUAAUUAUAACUAAUUUCCAUGUUUUUAUUGCACUAGGAAGGACAAAAUUCAAAUUAAAAGGUUUAAGUUCUCUUCUUAAUUAGGGUUCACCUAAGAGUAACAUAAUUUUCAAAUUAUUUUUGCAAUAUUAUUACCUUGCAAGAGAGGGAACAAAAGUGGAAUGGUUCUUGGAGGAUUCUAUCACAAGUGAAGCAAACAUUUGAAGAAACCUUAGCUCUUGAUUGUGGUCUUUGAUUUAUGAAUAUCACUUUGGCUCCGUUAAUUGUAUAUGGCUGAAUAUACAAAAUUCUCAAUCAGUAUAAUAAAUUAAAUUCAAAAUAAAAGCCUUCAAGAAAUUAUUUCACCUGAACAUAUGAACAAUCUAUGAGCUUCUCAAGAUCACUCAGCCGAACGACGUCGUGGUAUACAUAUCGUCUCACCUGCCGAUUCAUAAACGAAAGGGCUUAAUUGUUAGAAUUUAAACUAAUCGGGUAAAAUUCAUAAUCCUUCACAAAAUAAAUCCUCCUUAUCUCUACGGAAGCAAACAACAGGGCAAUAAAUAAAUCUUAUAAUUUUAUGAAGAAGGAUAGAUUUGCACCAAUAAUGUUUUUUGGGGAAUAGUGGAAAAUUAUUAAACAUUUUAAAUUGAUAAAAACAAAAAAACCUGUGGGAAAGAAGUUAAGGGAAGUGAAGGAAAAGGAAUUUGGUCAAAAGCUUUGAUGUUCUUUGAAAGCAACAGCUCAAGAGAAGUUGAGCAGAGAAGACAAUAAAUUUUAAAGGAACCAAGCAAUUUGAAAAGAGAAAGAAUUAAUAAAAGAUGUGAAAAAGAUACAUACUAUAUAUUUUUUUUUUUUGGUAUGAAGAUACAUACUAUAUAUAGAAACAAACCAAAUCCACAAAAUAGACAAUUCAAGUCCAAUUACUAUCAUCACAUAAAUACAUGAUACAUAUGAAUCUAUAUAUGUUGUUUAUACAUGCUCUCAAAACCUCCAAACAUAAUUAGAGAAAUGAUCAUAUCUUUAGAGUAAUUAAACCAAAUUUGACCUAAAGGGUUAAAUAUGUAAAAUUUAAUCUUAGAGGAAAAUUAAAAAAUUAUGAGAAAUUUAGAAAGAUGGCUUAAAGGGUCUUUUAAGAAGAUGAACAUUAUAAAAAACAUAUUUUUGGGAGAAGAAAAAGUUUGUGAUAAUGAAAGUUCCAUUAAAAAAACAAAGUUCUUAUAGUACAAGUUCCAAAAGCUCUACAAUUUGCAUUUUUUUGUUAACCGGGGAAAUCUCAAAUCGAACUCCAGACUAAUCCCGGAAUUGAGAAUUUUCCAGGAAAAUUACCAAGAAAAAUCAAAAACAAGGGUUUAUGGUUAGAUUUAACAAUUUGCUAACGUGUGUUAGUAUAUACAUAUUUCGCUACAAUCCAAACAUCUCUUAUAAGAGAGAGAAUUUUCUUCGAGAAAUCGAGUAACAGAAAAAAACUAUACGUACACAGUGAUUCAGUGUAAGUACAGAUAUCAACACAAAAAAAAAAAUUUACAAUUCACAAAAAAAAAACAUGGGUAUUGAAAUUGUCAAGGAAUCGAAUCAUGGGUCAUAAAAAAUUCUCAAUUUUUUAAAGUUUGGUUACCUGAAGAAGAGGAUGAGAGCGAUGUGCAGGGAGACAGUGAGGACAAACACUGAGACAACAGAGUAAGCAAAAAACGUUCUUUUCGCUUUUACGGCGAGUUUCGUGGAUUCCACAGCUUGAGAAGAAAGUUUCCGCCAUUAAUCCUUCAAGCCAUGCAGGUUUUGUUGCUAUCAUCAUCAUCAUCUCUUCUUCUUCUUCUUCACCAUCUCUCAUCAUUUCUGUGAAUUUUUAUGAUAGAGUUAAAACCCAGAUGGAAAGUUUCGAAAUUUUCACUCAAUUUAUUGAACAAGAAGAAGAACCCUAAAGAGAGAUUGAGAUUUUUGAUUGGGGGCUUCAAUUUUGGAGAGUGUGUGUGUGUGUGAAGAAGAAGUGUAUGUAAAUGUUUAUAUAUAAUAUCCAAUGUUAUGUGUAUACGUCAUACGUGUGUGUGUAUGUGUAUUGGUGUUUUUUUGUAAUGUAGAGGAGGUUCCAGAAUUAUUGUCGCUACGUAUAGAGAGAGAAGGUGUUGGUUGGGUAGGAGAAAGAGAGAGAGAAUGUCUUUUAUUGAGAAAACGAAAUGUUCCCAAAGAUCAAAUCUUUUGCUCCAUUGGCGAAAGAUCAAAUUUUAGAGAGAAGGUGUGACAGAGUAAGUGGCAUGGUUAAAGUUUUAGUCUUGAUUUUACCAUUGGGCAAAACACACAAUAAUAGAUAACUCAAUUUCAAGUUUUUGAUUACCUUUUACAUGGAACAAAAAGAUUGACUGAGAUCUUUAUUGAGAGGAUUUAUAUGUUUCUUUCUUUUAAAGAAAAAGACUUAAAAUUAAUAUUACGAAUGUAUAUCUUCUUGAUCUUUUGUUUGUGGUGCAUUUAAUUUCAUAGAGGACAAGUGUCCCUGAAGAUUAGUUUGUUUGGAGGGAUCUCUAAGGUUAAUUUACUUUUUCUGGAUAUGAUGAUACUCAUGUCUCCCCUCCUUCCACCUAACAUAUAAAAAACAAAGUGAUUUUUGUUUGGUAAAAGAUUUUUGGAAUUCACUUUUUAAUUCAUAUAUUAAAAAGCUUUACAUAAUUUUUAUUUAUAACAUUUACGAUCAUUUAUAGCAAAAUUACUUAAAUUAUCACUCCACAUAUAUAUCUUGUGAAGGUGUUGAGGUAUAAUUAUGGUGUGAUAUUUAUAUAUAUAUAUAUAUGACAUUAAUUAAGAAGAUAUAAAAUAUGGAUUGAUAAUGAAGAUACAAAGAUAUGGAGUGAUAAUAUUAUUAUAAUAAUCUUAUAAGUGAUAGUGGGUAUACUUAUAUUUUAUUCACACGCUAUAUUUUCAUUUUACUAAAUAAAAUUUCUGAGUGUCGAAAUUUAUAGUACUUUAUGAAUGUUAAAUUACUUGGUGUUAUUAUGCUAUGCACAUAUAUUAAAUUUAUCUUAAAAGACCAAGCAAACUUUAAAAGUAAUCAAUGUUGGUGCUAUUUAAUUAUAAAUUACAAAGUUUAUAGAAGUGUUUAUAUCAACAUUGUCACUCCUAGUUCUCUCUUUCUUUCCUUUUUCUCCCAAAAAAUAUUAAAUAAAAACUCAUAUUUUUGUUUUUAAAAAAGGAAUUUGUGCAAAAAAAUCCUCCAAAUCGCUAAUAUUUGCAGUUUUACCAUUCAUCUCCGAAAAAUGCAAAUCAAUAUUACGAAGUCAAAUAUAAUAUGCAAUAUAACCCGUUUAGAUAUUUUAAAUUUUGGGUUUGGAUUCGGAUCGGAUUUUUUGGAUCGAUAGUCUCAAAAACCAUCAUAAUUCCAAUAACUAAAAUUAUCAACAGUUUCAAAAAUAUAAUUAACAAUACAAAGAGAACAAAAAUAUGAGAAAGCUUUAAGAAACCGAGGUGAGGAGAAGAGUACUUAAAAAACUUAAAAAUAAAGAGAGCAUCACUCUUGCCAAUGCCAUCCAUACUCUAUUGUAUUUUCUUCUUCUUUUUUCUUAGUUAUAAUAUUAAUAAAAUAAUUUCAUAUCAUACUUUCACUCAUAUCUCAUAUCCUAGCUUUGGACAUCUCCAAAAAUCUAAAUUUGUCAAUCAAACGCUUUCUGGUAAUUGUUUUGUUCUUUUUUGUCCUGACUAUUUUGUUUUGUACAAAUUCUGUUUAUUAGAACUUUCAAGCCAAAUCAUAUUGCGAAGCUUAAAUAUACUUAUGAUAUUGAUUUCUUUGAAAAUAAAGCUUAAAAAUAAAGAGAGCAUCGCUCUUGCCAAGGCCAACGUCUCUGUCAUCCAUAUUCUAUUUUAUUUUCUUAUUUUUUGUUUCUUAGUUAUAAUAUUAAUAAAAUAAUUUUAUAUCUUACUUUUGGCCUUUUGGGCAUAUCUCAUAUCAUAGCUUCGGACAUGCUCCAAAAAUUUAAAUUUGUCAAUCAAACGCUUUCUAGUAUUGUUUUGUUCUCUUUUGUCUUAACUAUUUUAUUUUGUACAAAUUCUAUUUAUCAGAGCUUUCAAGCCAGAUCAUGUCGUGAAGUUUAAAGAUAAUUAUGAUAUUGAUUUUCAUGAAUUCAUCGUGGAGCAACAUACUGUUGAUUUUGUCACGAGUCACUACCUCAUUCACGAUAUCACCAAUGAGGACAAUAAUUUCUAAAGCUGCUCAAUAUCCUUAACAAAUCCCAAAUUAAUAGUCUUUUGCAUAACAAAACAAAAGGUAUGAAAUUGUUAGAUCUUAUUUUUAUCUCUUUUAGUGAUGUAUUCAGUAUUCAUAUAUAACCUUAUUUUUCACCUCUUGGUUCAAAUCAUUGGUGGCAAGUUGGCAGCUCGCGGAUUUGCUUCAUCUUUAUCUAGAUGGAGAAAAAUAUUCAUCUAUGGUGUAUACAUAAGCAAAACACUUUCUUUUAACACUAAAAUAUUCAUUAAAUCAAAUCUAUUUAUAUUUAGUGUUACUUAUAAUAAAUAUAGAUGAAAAUUAUACUUAACAAAAAAGUUAAAUACAAUAAAUGAAUAUUGGCAACAAUAUCUACAAAGUACAAAGUUGUGAAGUAUUUUAUUAGUAAUAAUAUAAUUCGAAUAAGAAAAUUAAUUUUCAAAAUUGGUCUUAUUUAAUAUUUUAGAAUUUGUUAAUCAAUUUUAAAAUGGAUAUAAAUUUGAUUAAUAUAUUAAAAAUACAGUUAUAUAUUUUAAAAGGUCAUAAUAAAUGAUAUUAGUAAUUUCAUUAAUAUCUGAGACCAAAACUUUUACGGAAUAACGAAGAUGCUUCACUUACUGAAUUAUAUUAGCAAUUUUAUUAUUAGGUGUAUAAUACUUUUUUAAAUAGAUACUCCCUCCGUUUCAGUUUAGUUGUCGUUUUAGGAUUUAAAUUUUGUUUCAUAAUAGUUAUCGUUUUAGGUUUUCAAUGCAAAUGUUUGGUAAAAAUUCCAGUUUUAUCCCUACUGUUUUAAUGUUUUGGCCAAUUAAAUUUUUUAUAAAAUAUAUUAGUAAAGGGUAAAACAGAAAAUUAAAUGCUUUACUUAAUUUGUGUGAAAAAACAUUAAACGACAACUAAAACGAAACGGAGGGAGUAUAACAUAUUAAAUUUUUUUAAAGAUGUACAAGUAUUGGAUCUCUAAAUAUCGCGGUGAAUAACAUAUUGAAUAUUUUCAUGUAAAAAUUAUAAGAUCAUGAAAUCUUUAGAGAAAUAUUUUUGUUAUUGAAAAUCAAUAUCAAUUUUUUGUAUUGAACUUUAUUUUUAUUUUGUGGAUGAGAUACAAUAUAGCCUUUUAGAUAGAUUUUUAGCAAUUUGAGUUAUUUUUAAAUAUUGUGAUGGUAAGACGGUGGACUUAAACAUUAUGAAAGAAGUGAUUACAUAAUUUUAUCAUUGCAAUAAAAAAAUUUCUCUAUGUAUAUUGUUUGCAUGUAAUAAAUUAAAAGAUAGUAAAUGAAAGAUGGUAUACAAUUUUAGCACAUAAUAAUGCGACAAUCAGUUACAUAAUAAAAUAAUAUGUUUGAAGCAUAAACGAAUUGGGCAAGCAUAUUGUUUUUAAUUUAUAUUUGUUCUAUAUCACAUUAUAUUAUUGAUCAUUAUAAGUUGUGUUUAUAAAUUUUAUUAUUUGAUAUUGUGAUAUAUUAAGAUAUCUUCUAAAUGAUUUUCUUUUGAAAUAUAGUUUCUAUAAAAUAUUAUUUUAAAAAUGUAUGAAUUAAAUUUGUGAAAAUAUGGCAGUAAAACUUUCAUGUUUUAAACUAAGAAAAAAACUAAUUUAAAGUUUUUACCUGAUUUUGAUUAAUUAGUAUUACAUAAAUUGAUUAGCAGUAAUUUAAAAAUUAACUUUGUGAUUUCAAAUAAAUCUAAUAUUAAAUAUCGUUUUUUAACAAAAAAAAACAUUUAACUAUCUUAAAUUCUUUGGAAAUAUUGUUUGACAGUAAUGAUUUUGAGUUUUAAGAUAUCUUUAAUCAUCAUUUAAAGAUUAACAAAAAAAUAAUAAUUCAUGAGUUUAUAUGGUUAGUUUGGUGAUUUUUUUAAAGUUGAGAAUUGCUUCACUACUAUAUUGAUAAAAUUUAAAUCAUUUAUGAGUUUGUCUAAGUGAAGUGGAGGAUUUCAGAUUGAACAAUAGACAGUUUAGACUAGUACAACCAAUGUAGUAUUCUUUUUUAUAGUAUUUUUCAGCAUUAAUAGGAUAGCAUAUAGUGUCAACCAAUUAAAUAUAAUUUAUUUAUGGUCAGAUUAUAUAGAAACCCAAUGGGCCCAACUAUAUAGAAACCCAAUUCGUUUAUACUCUCUUUGAACCACAUUUACUAAAUUGUGGCAUGUAAUUUGGUUAAACCGUUUCAAACCGAAUCAAAAACCAUCUACCAAAAUUGAAGCCCAUUUACUUAUUCUAUAUCAAAAUUUGCAAUAGAAGAAAAAUCCAAAGUUUAUUUUAAAUAAAUUUCAGUUUAAAGAUUAGUUCGUUAACAAAAAUGAAUUCUAAACUGAAAUCAAAAUUGACGAAAAAAAAAACUGAAAUCGAAAUUAUAGUAAACCAUUUGAUUCGCUAGCUCCCAGUCAAAUUCUUUCUUUAUUGCAUUGUAAUAUUACCUAAACAAAACUCAAUACAUUGUAUUCUAUGUGUGACCAUAUUACAAUGUUUUAGGCUAUGAGGAACAACUGCAAACUAUAGAACUGUGACCCCAAUGAUUAAUAUGCAUAUAUUAUAUAUACACAUACUGUUCUCCCGUUCUACUGCUUUCUACUACAGAAUGACCGAUGUUUCAAAUGGUUUAUAUCACGACCAUAAUUUUAUCAAAUCUUUCUCUCUACACACUUUGUAGCUAUACUAGUUGAUCGUGCAUGCUCGUCAUUAACGAUACAAAGAACCUCUAUACGAGGGACUCCAAUAGUCAGUUGCACUGUUAUCGCGGUAUGCGAUUGGGGUGCAAGAAAUAGGAACCAAACAAAGCCCUCUACUCCUUAGAUCUAGAUGUUUCGGUCCCAUUUUGUUGUGAUCUUCUCUAUCCCAUCCUCCCCAUGGAUCCUAAAAACCAUACAUACGAGAUUAUAGUUAUUUAACUUAAGAGAUUUCCUUUUCUAAAAAUUCAUUAACAAACUAUUUUAAAAACUUUAAGAAAAAUUUACCACCACCCAUUUUCUCCUUUAAACAUUACCUUAAUUGAUGAAUUCUUCAUAUAAGGAGUGCUUAGCAGCUGCAUGAUCGUUAAAAUCACCAACCAAAUUGUUAACUAAGAUAAUCAUGCUUGCAAAUAUAUGCUUGCCACAAUUAUUAUUUUUGUAAUUUUCACCGUAUAUAAUUAAAUAAAACAAUUUACCUUAACUUGCUCUUGAUAAAAAUUUAUGUAAGUGAUGGCUUCUUGAAGUACAGAAGCAGUAUCCGUCUGAAAUGUUUUCAAACCAAUGUUUCAUUUUCUUCGUUGUAUUAUAUAAAAAGGAACGUUGAAAGAGAUGAGAACUAUAUAUAAUAAAAUAAAAACGAAACUAGAAAAAGCAAUUUGACAAAACAAAAGAAAGGAAAAAAAAAAAUGGUCUUUUUGUUGUUACCUUUCCAAAGGGAGACACAAUUUGCUGUAGAGUCGUGAUCUUGUCUCGAAGUUUGGCUUUUGGUAGUUCCUGCCAUUUCUUUUUCGAAAAUAAUGUUAUGAUUUUGAUUUUCCUUUUAGUAUUUUUUUAGCCGAGUUAGUCUCAUUCACAAAUAAAUCUCAUAACCUCCAUUCAUAUGAAUAUAAAUUUAUAAUAGUGACAAAUUUCUUACGUGUUUAUCAUAGAAAUCACAAUUCAAUAUUUUUUGCAACAUACUUACUAAGUGCACACAUAAGAGGAUUAGAUUAUAUAGAAAUUACCUUCUCCGGCGAAAGUGUAGAGCCGGCGCUGCACUUGGCCUUCUUGGAGACCUCAUCGGAAAUUUCUUCACAUCUUUUCUUCUUCCCGGCGUUUGUUGUUCCCAAUCUCCCUGCUGCCUGCAAAAAAUAGCUUUCAAGUUCGUGUUAACGUCAAAACAAAAAAAAAGUUCGUGUUUAACGUCGGUAAAUAGACUUUCAUUCGUAAUAUACUAGCAUAAUGGUGCAAUAACAAAAUGUUGAAUUGUUUUGUGGAGUUAAAUGGUUAUGCAGGAUGAGAAUCCUAAAGGAGGAAUUUGACAUUAAGAAAAACAUGCAAAUAGCAGCAAAAGAAAACAAAAAAUUCCAACUACCACAAACUUUAUGGUUAUAGAUUAUUCCUCAAACCUUAAGUGUCCCUUUUGAAAAUUUUCUCAAACUAUUGGCAUUUUUAAAACUAAAAUUUGUUUUCUUAGUAUGUUAGGAUAUUUUUCAAAAUAUAAUAUAUAUUGCCACAAAAUGCUGGCAAUUUUUUUUCAUAAACAUAGUAAUAACAUCCGUUACCAAAUAUAAAGAUGCAACAGAAAUAUCAAUGUUAAAUCCACUGUUAACUGGAACGUUUUACCCAAUGUCGAUAAUAAGCUAUUGUAUCACAUAUUUAAUUAUAUGAACAGAUUUGAUAGCGUAUACGUACCAGUGAUGCCGUUUGCUGUUCUUUCUUGUUGAACUCGGAUACGUUUAAGGCCUUAAAGCAUGGCUUAAACGACGGAUUAAUAUCCGUUAAUGGCCUACUUAACCUUACAUCAAGGAAAUUUCUAGAACUUUCUGUAGGAUCAUGGAACAAGGAACCACCGCCACUUGAGCCAUUAUUGUAACAAAGAUCUUCCUCAUUUUUCACCUCCAAGGCUUGUCUGUACAUAGAAACGUCGUCGUUUGUUUGAGAAUGAUCAUGAUCGAAGUGAUGAUGAAGGUUAUGGUUCAUGUCGGGAUUAUUCGGUGGCGCAAUUGACCAGUGCUUGCCUACAAGAUCCGUUAACUUUGACAGCCGUUGGUCACUACUUUGAUCGUACCUAACUUGAUUUGUGUCAUAGACCCAACCGUUAUCGUUAUGGCAGGCUGACUCGAAUGAUGCUAGUUCUGAUGUUGUUGAUGAAUUUCUUGAAGAUGUUAUGUGAUGAUCAUUAUGAUGAUGAUGAUGAUGAUGAUGAUGAUGAUCCAUCAUUUGAUCUCCUAAGCUUCUACUAGGCCUGUCCAUUUAUAUAAUUUUAUUAACGUGUGUAUAAAAUAUGAUAUGUAAUGUUACAAAACUUAAGAUAAAUAUGGGCGCGUUUUUUUAUAAUGAAUUUUUGUGUUAAUGCUAGAUUAUUGUUUUUACUUUCAGAAUAAGAAACACUAGAUAGAUAUUGAUACUUUCAUUAAAAUAAUUUUGGGAUAUUGUAAACAGGUACAAUAUGGUUAUUUUGGUUUGCAUUUUACGUGUUCGUUUAUAUUUUUCAAGUAAUUAAUACUUACUACGACAAGUUUUUUAAAUUUGAACUACUACAACAUCUUUUACUUUAAAAUACGAAUAAACUAUAUCUUCGAGUGGCCAAUGAUAUAGAAUUAUAGAUGAAUCAUAAGUGCAAAAUUAUAGGCAUACCCUAACCAAUCAAACGUUAAAUCAUUUAUUGGGGAACAAUAAUUCAAAAGAGCUAGCUACUAAUAUACUUUCUGUAAACCAACUUUUAGACCUCUCUUUUGUUUCUAAUGUUUUUUUUUUAAUUUUUGUUUUUAGGCCUGGAAAGCAUUCAUUUUUUAAAAACAAACAAAAAUAAUAAUAGUAUGAACUAGAUGAUAUCUUUAUGGAGUGGAGCGUAGAACUUUAAACCUUAAGCUAAACUUUGAUCCACAAUUACCGCUAUGUGAAUUGUAAGGAAGAAUGCGAAACUCAAAGAAGAAAUAAUCAUAAGUUGGAUAAGAUAAAUAUAUAUCAAGUGUUUUUAUAGAUACUUACAAGAAGGCAAGACUCCAUAGAUGAUUAUGAGAAGAGACUACGUGGUCGCGGAGCAACUCAUCGGAAGAGGAGGCAGGCUGAUUUGGAGCCGAGAGAGAGUGAUGAUUGGAGGAUUCAGCUGUUAGGUCCAAACGAUUUGAAGCGCUCACGGUAGAGAUCGAGAGAUUGUCUUCUUCACAGCUAGCGUUUGCGUUUAAGUUUUUAUUACUAUUCUUAUGGUAAAAAGACGUCGAAUUAAUCGAGUUUGCAUGAUCAUUAUGAUGAUGUUGAACAUCUUCCCACCAUGAUGAACUUGGAGUACAUUCUUCCCUUAACAUUUUUCUUUCGUCGAACUUAUUUUCUUUUGUUGGUAAGUCUAGAGGAUAUGUACAUUAGAGAAUAUAAAGUGUAUAUGAUACGAUCGGUGGUGGUGACAAUAUUAUAUGCGAGUGGGGUAUGUCCACUACAUUACAUUUAAAAUUACAUAUAGUUAUAUAUAUAUAUGUAUCUAAGCCACCGAAGGAUGUGUUAUAUGCGGUCUGCGUAAGAUGGUACGUCAAUUAAAGAUGUGUUUGACCUCUACAUGAACUUGUCACAUUUUUCCGGUAUCUAGAUGGAUCUUGGUAUAUUUUACAAUUAGUUAAAAUUCUAUAGAACCUAAUAAUGUAUAUUAGUAGGUAUAAUCUUUCGAUCAGACAACAUGCAGAGUCACAAACUAACUAAAAAUAGAGUUUUUCUAUAAACAGAAUAUGAACCAAAAAAUAAUUUGAUAGUAGUCAAAAUGGUUAUGUUUUUAUUAUAGUUAUUUCCUUUUCAACCAUGUUAUUUGGAGAUUAAUCUAAGUUUAAAAGAAUGGUAUUUCAAAACAUGUUUUUUCCUCAGAGAAGAAGACAUGUCUCCGCCACAACGAGACAUGUCUCCGCCACAAUGUACAUUGUCAUCAGACUUGGUAUUUGCCUAUUUGGCCAACCUAUAACCAAAACCCGCCUGUUACCAAAAUAUGCCUCCGCCACACGUGAAUGCGGCCGGGUGCCACAACUUCGUGACAUGAGGCCUGAAAAUUACUAUUACCCAAAAAUUGUUGUUUCAUUUGCUUGUUAAAUAUGCGUUGGCGGGCGAAAGCAUAGCCAUACUAGAAGUUCCACGCUUUAUUAGUGCAUAUGGAGUAGAAUUGGACUCGGAGUCAAUAGUCACUAGCUAGCUAGCUAAUCUUGUAUGAUGAUUCGGUUCUAGAGCCCUAUUUGUAUAUCAAAAUUUAUGUAUCGUCUUCUUUUCAAAUAAUUUCUUUUGAAUUUUGAUCGAGAGAAGCCAAUUAUUUGGCUUUAUUUCCAUGCUACAUUAGGUUUGACCUACUUCUAUUCUUUUGCCCUCCAGCUUUAAUAAAGAUGUUGGUUUGCCGACCAAAAGGUUUAGAUUUUGUUUUUGAUCGAUAACAAAAUUUCUGAUAACGAAGCUAAAGUUACAUAAUAUUUUUUGUAAAAUUGAAUUAAUUUUAGAUGAAAAACAAGAGAGUAACUGAAAACUGAUUAUUAUCACAUAUAGUUGAUUGCAUUCUAUCAUGCAUGUUGUAUGAAUACCAUUAUGGAAGGACUUGAGCUUCUUAUACCAAAAAAAAAAAAAACUAGAGCGAAGGAGAGGAAGGUGUAGAACGGGCAAUAGGGUUUAUUUCUUUUAAUUCUAUUUGGCUCCAAUUAUUAUAAAAAGUGGGCAGAUGAUGCCAAAAAAAUAAAUUAAAUUAACUUGGAUAUGUUAAUUAAAUAUGCAAGCGUGAUUAUUGAUACACGUUAUUAUCUUUUUUUGUUUUAAUAAAAUUUCGUAACCAAAAGUAAGGGGCAUUAUGGAAUAUUAAAUGUUUAUUUUGUAACGUUUCAAAUUACCAAACACAAAGCACUCAUUGUUCCAAUCUACAUAUUUUUCAUGUAAUACUCCAUAGCAAUUCCAGUGUGUGUAAUUCAGUUUUCAGUUGUUUGGAAUUUUAAUCGAGUGAAAAAUAUAUGAAAUAAAUAGCAAUUAUAUCCGUUGUAAGCAUAUUAAUUGGUAUAUUAUACUCCUUUUGUUUCAAAAUAUAGGAUGUUUUAAGAUGUUUUACAUAUUUUUAUUUAUGCAAUCUUUAAAUGCAUUUGAUGUGUUAUGACCAUUUGUAUUCUGCAGUCUUUUAUAUCAUUGGUUAAAUUUUAAAAAAUUAAAUAUUAAAUAAUAGUUUUAAAAACAAUAAUAAAUUUCUUAAAAUAUGUGUUUUUAACUAAAACAUCCUAUAUUUUGAAACAGAGGGAAUACUAUAUAAAACGAAGCUUUAAACAUUUAAGGUCACAAAAUCACAAAUUCAAAUAUUAAUAGCAGGAAAACACUAAUCAAUUGUGAUUUAUCAUAUUUUUUGUAGAUAUCUCCAAAACAGAAAAGUUUUCUAUUAUAGAAUCUGAUUAAUAUAUAACACAAAAAAGAUAAAUAAUCAAUACGAGUAGAAAUUGGAGAUUCAUUUUUACCACAACCGAUAGUCGAUAAGUAUAAGUUUCUUGGGGUUUUGAUUUCACGUACGCAUCUAAGUAUACUUAAUAAUAUUGACUUAUAUCGUAAGCUUUAAAUUUGAUGCUUACUUGUUUGGUGACACGAAACCUAGCAAUUAAUAAAGGGUUACGAUUCCAUACUGGCCCUAACUUUUUGAUUUCAAAAAGAUAAUUUAAAGUAUUAAUCAAUAAUCACGCCUGUUUAAUUAAUUUAUUAUCGUUUCUUGGUGCGCUAUUUAUUUCUCAGGCAUUCAUAACUUUUAAUCCGAGUCCAAUCCCACUCCAAAAGUUUCUUGUCUUUUGCGACAUCUUUUUUUUCUUAUUUCUCAUAUUUUAAUAAAUAACAAUUUAAAAAGAGAUUGAGUGGCCAAAUUUUCUGAGGUUGACUUUUGUUUAAUUCACUAUCAUUUAUAUUUGACUCUUUAUAUAUUAGUCAAUAACCAAUCGAUAGCACCAUAACCCAAGAUGUUUUUCUAAUGGCCAAAAGUUUAAUUUAAAAAAUUCAAUUGGUGAUUAUAGUUUGGUUACAUGAUACCAUGGCAUAUAGUAAAAGUUAGUGGAAGAGAACGAUUAGGCCAGUUAUGGAAGUAUUCUAGGCCCAUUUUAUUUAUUGGUGUUUGGUCAUUCCUCAUUGGCCCAUUCAUGAUUCAUGCAUGAAACCAUCAAAGUUCAGGUUCGUUGGGCGAGGAAGUUUAAAAUUUGCAAAUCACAUAUUUUGUUAAACGGUAAGGGAAAAAAAGAAAUCCAAGGAAAGGUAGAUACAAUUCAUGUGGAGUUAGUAACGCUUCAAAACAACCCAACUUGGUUAUAUAAACUAAGAAAGUUUUGUCGGCUUAGGGUUACGGUAACUUGAUGAAAACAUUAAGGGUGGUGAAUAACUUGGUCCAGCUAUUAUUUAGGAACCGGACACCUAAACAGGAUGAAGUAUGAUGUGUUUUGGUCUCUUUGACAGUCAUCCAAAAAUGCUUUUUGUACCGUAUAGCGCCACGUUACUUAUUGUUAUGGUCCCAAGUAAAAUGUAGCCUUGUCAAAUUUGUCAUGCAUUGGUAAGUGCUACAACUAUAAGAGCCGAGAGAAUGAAAAAAAAACUACUAAAAGUUAAGCUGAUCUAUAUGAUGCUUCGUGAUUCACUAAAAAUAGGUUAACAUGACGCUAAAUAAGUAAUUCUCCUAAGUCCUAACGAUGACACAUGAUGUUAACCUAUUUUUAGUCCAAGUCUUACUGACAACUUUCAACCCUAAAUAUAUGCAUUCUUUUUGUCAAUAUUGAAUUUUUUGCUAACAAUACUCGGCUGAUAAAUGAUGUGAUACGCUCUAAUUGUCUUAUAAUAUAUAUAUUUUUCAAAAUUUUAUUUAAAUCAUGGAAUGAUUAUCUAUUUUAUAUACUUAAAUAGUUAAAAUAUUAGAUACCAUUAAAGCUAGCUAAAUUGAUGAGGCCAAACUAAAUUGCCCAAGCAUAUGUGGUCUAGUGGCAGAGGAAGCUUUGGGAAAGGGUGAAAUUCCCAAACCUGAGUUCGAUUCUCCCUGGAAACAAAAACACAUUUGUUUGGGAAGUCUGUCAGUUAGGCCUUGACCCAAUUGGUUUACCUGGUAGCCAGAAAUGCAGGCGGCCUGACUACCCCUGGCACUUAGUCGGAAGGCAUUCCAAACUCGGGAUAGGCAGAGUGGUAGCCCGUAAGGGCCUAACCGUUAACACGGUGGACUAGUCCACUAUGUAGCACUUCGGUGCGUUUCUACCGGGGCCGACCGGAUAGCCGAUAAGGUUUAUCAAAAAAAAAAAAAAAAACUAAAUUGUGACCGUCCGUCUAACUAAGUUUGAUGUAACAAUUGAAUAAUCAACUCACCAAAUCUCUAAAUGUACAUUUCUAUGCGAUCCUUUUCUGAUAAUUAUUUGUAGAUUAAGAACAGAAGCAAUAAUUAGUCGAUUAUAAGUCUAUGGCCAAAUGAAAUGAUGGGCCAAUGUUCAUUUUUUACUUCUUUUUUAGCCAACAAUGAUGGCCCAAUGUUCAGAAAACUUAGCUUCAAAUUGCUAUUUAUUAUUUAAAUAUGUACUGUAAUCAUUAUUUUUCUAAAUUAUUAUCUUACUUUUGUUUAGCUGUCUUUGUUAAUUAAAGUAAUGUUGGGUGCACUAGAGAGUAGAGACUAGAGGCCCCAAUUCAACUCAUACCCGAUUUAUACCUUUCUCCAAUUUCUCCACCUUGAACUAACGGUAGCUUAUGUUUUUUUUUUUUUUGUUAAAGAAACUAACGGUAGCUUAAUGAAUUAUCAAUACAAUUUUUAAAUACUAUAAGAACAGAAUCCAUAUAGUUUCGUGAAUAUUACAACACCAUCCUUUAAACUAUUUUUUUCUGUAUAUCCACGUGUUUAAAUAGAUAUAUCGAUUAUCAUAUAUACAAAAAUAUAAAAAGUGAUUUUGAAAUAUAUAACCGUUCAAUGUAUUUGAAAUUAACUAUCAAUUGCACAUGAGGUCAUAUGUUUUGGUGAAAGUCGGGCAAGAUUUUAAGCUGGAGCAAGAAUUGCAUGCGUUAUAUCAUUUUUUUUUGUUGAAAAGCUUUUAUUAUUUAAAGAUUUAAACUACAGGGAAUCCAAAAGAACCAUGAAUAAAUAACUGAAAUUAACAUAACCAAGCAGAAAAGAAAAGAAAAGAGAAGAGAAGAAGGGAAGAAGGAAAGAAGGAAAGGUCCGGAUAUUUGCAUGGGUUAUAUCAUACAAAUUCCAAUGUACAGUUUUCUUAUAAUGUAAGCACAGUUCCAAUGUACCAUAAACACAACGAUACUUAAGCAUUUACUAGUCAUUGGUUCCGUCCAAAAUUCUUAAAUUAUUAAUUUCAAAUUAUUAAUAUGUAUUGAUAUGAGUCAAAUUAAUUCUAAGACUACUCUCUCAAAUAAGAGAUCGUUGUUGUGGAUGUUGGAUUCACACACUCAAGUAUUUUUGUUAAGUAGGAAAGAUUACUCUUGAGGGACAAAAAAUGAAUAUGUAAAAAGCUUAUGAAUUGUUACAAGAAUUGCUGUAGUAUUUCUUACUCGAGAGAGACCCCCCUUACAUGACCAUUGGCCCUUAUAUUUAUACAUAGAAAAACAACAUUUAAUUGGCUAAUUAAGUACAAUUAUUCUCUCUUAAAUGUGUCCGUGUUGAUCUUUGACUUUUUAAUGCUCAACGUUUGAAUUUGAGUUGACUCCGAUCUUUAUGGGACUCAUCUUUUGGCCCAAAUGUCCUUGGACCGACUUAAACGUGACUUUGGCUCCGGACUCGUGCCGAGGUGAAGUAACUUCGUAUUCUUAUCGAGGUGACAACCACUUCGACUGUUCCUUUGACUUAUGGGUCUAAUGGGCUUUAUCCCUUAUGGGCCGUUAUCCUGACUACGUGGCAAUCUUUGGUUGGUCCCGGAUCUCUGGUGCGGGAUCCGACACCAACAAUUAGCCCUCCAAGUUCUUCGAAGUGCUAUUCCAAUUCGGAGGACUUUAAAUGCUUUAAUAACCAAAGAUUGCGUUCCGGAGAAUCUUCUGAUUUCCCGCCAAGAUCUCAUCAGUCCUUUAAUUUUGGCGCUACCCAUAUUUAGUCGCGUGACAUCUGUCGCCAUCAUGACCGUAUAUUAAUUAUUUACUAUUAAAGCGGGAAAAAACCUUCCCACUUCUUCCAUGAUUCCCAAGACGGUUCCAUCAUUAUCACCUAGCUGAGGUAACCUUCUUUUUCAUUAUUACUUUUACUCUUGUUCUUCGUGGUUAAAACUCCUUCUGCUUUUCUCUCCGAAUUUUUCUUUUUCCUGGAACUUGAGUUUUUCAUUCUUCCCGAUGACUUCUGAUUCCGAUAGACCCGAGUCUCCGUCUUUUGAUGACAGGCGUUCUAGUAAUGACGAGUGCACCCGCCCUAAUGAUAUUGCCGGUCCGCACUAUAGAUCCACCUGCACCCUUCAAUCCCUUGAACGAUUGAAGGAACUCUGCCGAAUUCCGCCGGGAAUUAUGGCGGAGGCGCAGAUAGCUGAUCCCACGGAGUCUCCAGAAAGCCAUCGCGACGGCUACUUCUGUGUAUACGAGAUUUAUUUUAAAGGUUGCGGGCUGACUUUUAUCCUUCCCGAAGCCCUAGUUUGAUACCUAGCGGCUCUUGAAAUCGCUCUUCCUCAAUUAACCCCCAAUCUUCUUCGUACUAUCCUUGGAAUUAUAACAAUCGCGGCGGAGGCCGGAUACGUUAUCGGAGUCACUGAGCUAAAUGAGCUUCUAAGUGUGAGAAGUUCAUCGAAGAAAACGGGGUAUUUCUCAGCAUAUCCAAACGCCAGCAGGAACAUCAUUUCGCAUCUUCCGAACAAGGAUGAAAAUUGGCACCAUCCUUGGUUUCUGAUUAAGAAAACUCCCGCUUCGAUUGGAAAUCUUGCAGAUUUUCUCCCUUCGAAGUGGUCUGCGAAACCUGGUAGAGAUUAGGUCGCCCAUAUCUUUCCCGGUUGUUUUAUUAUCUUUAUUGACUAAAACCGUUGUUUCAUUUCGCAGCUUUCGUCGCUCCGACUCUCCCAUCUGACGCAUUCGUUGAAUUCUUCAAAAUAAUUCUCGAAGGGGAAACCCUAUGGAAUUCUUUCACUCUUGAACGAUUUUUAGAAGCUGAUUGCUCGAGUAAUUAACUCAAUACACUUAACCGUUAGGCAGUAUAUUCGAGGUCGAUCCACAAGGACCAAAGAUACUCUAAGGAUUUUCGAGACUUGUUCUUAGCUAAAACUAAAAAGUUGUUUUGUUUGAGUUUUCCGAAUUGUAAAAUAAAAAUGCAAUUAAAUUAAACGAUUUAAGUUUCAAGAUUUAAAGACAUUAGGCAUUAGGGUAUUUCAGAGAUCAAUAAACAAUGGAAACAUGGGACAAGGAAUUCAACAAUUACGAACCGUUCUUGAACAUGAACACAACUUAGACUAAUUCUCUUUCAAGACAUUAAUCACUAAAUUUGACUACUCGAUUACUAAACUUUCGCAUGUAAUUUCCUAGUCAAAUUCGCAUUAUCAAACAAGUUCAUUUAGUUCACAAUGCGUCCUAACUUCAACUUUCGUUGGCUAGAAAUACAUUGCUCAAUUCACAUUCUUUCAGGCAUUCUAUCGAACACUUUUGAUGCAUAGAAAAACCUAGGUUCUACAACAGGGUGAUCAAUCCUAUUCUAGCAUUAAGAACAUGUGAAUCAAAGAACCUAGAGAAUGAGAAUUCCAAACAACAAUUAAUCCAUUAAUCUAUCGAAUCUCCUAAUUAGAACCCUAACACCUAAUUAAAAGACUACUCACACAUAGCAACAGAAACAAGACAAAUAGAUGAAGAAGACAUAAUUGAAUUACAAUGAAAAUAAGAAAUAGGGUUUAGAAAUCUUCUCCAAAUUGUCAAAGAGGAUGAAUCUCUAGAAUCCCAAGGUUGCUUACAAGAGAAAAGUCUCAGAAAAAUUGCAGAAAGAAAACGUGGAGAGAAAAAUAGGUUUCUCUGGGUUUUUAUACCCAAGUACAGAAAAAGGCAAAUAAACCCGGUUAAGGAAAACCGGUCUGGUCGUCGAAAAAGGGUGGAUCGAUCGAUCCCCACCUGGGAUGAACACGUUUGGACGGAUGAGGGUUGGAUCGAUCGAUCCCCUCCUGGGAUCGAUCGAUCUCGAGCUACUGGAACUUUUGGCUUCAUCGUCACAAUUGGGAUCGAUCGAUCCACGCCUUGGAUCGAUCGAUCCCCAGCUCCUGGUGAUCUCUUGUACCGUUUCUCCAUUGUUUUAGCUCCGAAUAGGCUCAAUCAUGCACAAGAUGCUCCGAAUCCAGCUCGAGCACCUAUAACCUGCAAAGGACUCAAGACACAACCGAAAAGACGCAAAAGACGGACUUUGACACGAUAGAUGACUCAAAAC
RNAcentral lists this long non-coding RNA (59353 nucleotides) under Arabidopsis lyrata. Its description in RNAcentral is "long non-coding RNA (ALYR_LNC003115)". The stretch from base 19701 to 19784 matches the Rfam family "tRNA". The record is from RNAcentral. Lineage: Eukaryota; Viridiplantae; Streptophyta; Magnoliopsida; Brassicales; Brassicaceae.